UACCCCCGCAUGGGCCCCAAGAGGGAGCUCAAGUUUGCCCUGGAGUCUUUCUGGGAUGGGAAGAGCAGCGCUGAGGAUUUGGAGAAGGUUGCGACCGACCUCAGGGCCAGCAUCUGGAAGCAAAUGGCUGACGCUGGGAUCAAGUACAUCCCCAGCAACACCUUCUCGUACUAUGAUCAGGUUCUUGACACGGCUGCCAUGCUUGGUGCUGUCCCAGAGCGCUACUCAUGGACUGGUGGAGAGAUUGGGUUCAGCACCUACUUCUCGAUGGCUAGGGGCAAUGCCACUGUCCCUGCCAUGGAGAUGACCAAGUGGUUUGACACCAACUAGUAAGUCCUUUGCUUCCAUUUAAGCUGUCUGACAGUAACAUUUUAUUUAGAUUUCACAUUCAACAUUUUGCUAACUGCUGCUGUUGUGCCUUUACAGCCACUUUAUCGUCCCUGAACUUGGUCCCAACACCAAGUUCUCCUACUCUUCCCACAAGGCUGUGAAUGAAUACAAGGAGGCUAAGGCGGUAAGAUACUAGGAUUACAUCUUACGUCUCUGUCUGGUUCAUGAUUGUUUUCUCUGCCUGACUACAUAGGCGUUGCUAACACAUUCUUAUUGUCAUUAAUGUCUUAGUUCGUAAAGUUACUUAUUAGUUUAGCGUGUUGCUUUCUGCUAUUAUAGUGCAUUUGCUUAAUAAUUUUGUCCUAGAAAAGAAAUUCUGAUGUACAUUAAAUGGCAUGCUUACCAUGAUUUUUUUUGAAGAUUGUCACUCCUUCAGAUUGAUGGCCUGUAAAUCACAUGCCCUCCAAGUGACAGUUUGUUUAAGUUCAGUGUUAAUACUCGUGUCCAAGCAAAUUUUUGGCCCCUUGUUUAGUAUUUUGAAACUAGCAAUUUCAGAUUUGCAAAGACUAAAAUUCACUUUACAUUUAUGAAAUAAUGUUUUUUUAGCACUAUAUGUUGUUUCCAUCUUUCUCAAAAGAUGUCCAUGUUGUUUGUGGCGAAAUUGUCUGAUUUUACCUAUGCUUAAUUGGUGAGUUUACCUGAAACAUGCUUUGGUUGAAUUUACUAUCUUGUUCCAGUUUGUGAAUAGUAACAUUUCUAUUUUUAAGCAUCAAAUUCUGAAUUAAGUAGUAUUCCUUCUGGAUUGAAAAUCAUAGUGUUUUCUUAAAAAUUAAGAUGUAAUCUGGUCGUUUGUAUGUCUCAUGUAAUUGUUCUUCAUGCAGCUCGGCGUUGACACCGUGCCAGUACUUGUUGGACCAGUUUCAUACUUGUUGCUCUCCAAACCUGCCAAGGGUGUAGAGAAGUCGUUCGCUCUUCUUUCCCUUCUGAGCAGCAUCCUUCCUGUCUACAAGUAAGUGUACAAACAAGUCUAUAACUGCUGCUAGCGCUAAAUCUUCAGUUCAUAAUUUGAUGCAUGAUGAUUUGUAGGGAGGUUAUUGCUGAGUUGAAGGCAGCUGGUGCUACUUGGAUUCAGUUUGAUGAACCCACACUUGUUCUUGACCUUGACUCUCACCAAUUGGCUGCAUUCUCUGCUGCAUACACAGAACUUGAGUCGGCACUUUCUGGAUUGAAUGUGCUUAUUGAGACAUACUUCGCUGACAUUCCUGCUGAAUCAUACAAGUAUGUUUAUUUCCUGUACUAUCGUAUCAUUACCAAACCCGCCUUUCCUUUAGCAUGCUUUUUCUUUUUAGUGGCAGAACACUGAUACUGCCUUUUCACUGCAGGACCCUCACAUCCCUGAACAGCGUGACUGCUUAUGGUUUUGACCUUAUCCGUGGAGCCAAGACUCUUGACCUUAUCAAGAGUGCUGGUUUCCCCUCUGGAAAGUACCUCUUUGCCGGUGUUGUGGAUGGACGCAACAUCUGGGCUGAUGAUCUCGCUGCAUCUCUCACUACCCUUGAGUCUCUUGAGGCUAUUGUUGGAAAGGGUAAGCAAUUAAGCAUGAAGUUAUUAUAUCUGUUAUAUUUUAAUAGGUACAAUUUGCUGUAUCCAAUAAUAUCCUCAAUUUCUGCACAUCCAACAAUACCUUUCAUUUCUGCAGACAAGCUUGUGGUCUCGACUUCCUGCUCACUCAUGCACACCGCUGUGGAUCUUGUAAAUGAGACCAAGCUCGAUAGCGAGAUUAAGUCAUGGCUCGCUUUUGCUGCCCAAAAGGUGGUUGAGGUGAAUGCCCUUGCUAAGGCAUUGGCUGGACAGAAGGAUGAGGUAUGGUACUCUCUUUCACCCUUUAUUUAUUCUCUCACCUCUUAGUAAGAGAUCAGGCUUAGUUCUCAAUAUUAUUCGGAGAAACUUCUGCUGCUGCUCAGGCUUACUUUUGUACAUUUGUAAACAAUAUUGUACAGGCUUACUUUGCAGCAAACGCUGCUGCUCAGGCCUCCAGGAGGUCAUCACCUCGUGUGACAAACGAGGAAGUCCAAAAGGCUGUAAGUACCUUGCGUUUUUGGCCAGCAUUUGCUGAUUUCAUAUCAACAUAACUUCACAUGUUUUUCUUAAACACAUGAUAUUGUUUGUGAAGGCUGCUGCUCUGAAGGGGUCUGACCACCGCCGUGCUACCAAUGUUAGCGCUAGACUGGACGCACAGCAGAAGAAGCUCAACCUUCCAGUCCUUCCUACAACCACAAUUGGUUCAUUCCCACAGACUGUGGAGCUCAGGAGAGUCCGCCGUGAGUACAAGGCAAAAAAGUGAGUAACAGUCCACAUCAACGCUUCACUUGUUUCCCUUCUUUCGUCUAUAUUACUCAUAGCAAAAUACUGCUACAGGAUCUCUGAGGAGGAGUACAUCAGUGCCAUCAAGGAGGAAAUCAGCAAGGUUGUUAAGAUCCAGGAAGAGCUUGACAUCGAUGUCCUUGUUCACGGCGAGCCUGAGGUCAGUAUCCUUGUGUACUGUUUGUGUUUUCUAGACUUUGCACCUGGCUGUUUGAGAAAACAAAAUAAAUAUAUUUAUUGAAGCAUUAACAAAGUUUGGUUUGUUCUGCAUUGAAGUAAGCUAAUUGGCAUGUAUUUUAUACUUUCAGAGAAACGAUAUGGUUGAGUACUUCGGUGAGCAGCUUUCUGGUUUUGCAUUCACUGCCAACGGAUGGGUGCAAUCUUAUGGAUCACGGUGUGUCAAGCCACCAAUUAUCUAUGGUGAUGUGAGCCGCCCCAACCCCAUGACUGUGUUCUGGUCCAAGUUGGCGCAGAGCAUGACCUCUCGCCCCAUGAAGGGAAUGUUGACUGGUCCCGUCACAAUCCUUAACUGGUCUUUUGUCAGGAAUGACCAGCCGAGGUCAGUGCCUGUUGUUGAUAAUGUAAUCUAAUUUGUUCUGGUUGUGAAUGAGCAUUCUUUUCUGAGUCUGACAUUCAUACGCUGGCUCAGGUUUGAGACAUGCUACCAGAUUGCUCUUGCCAUCAAGAAGGAGGUCGAGGACCUUGAGGCUGGUGGUAUUCAGGUUGGUCCUGUUCUAUAAUUUGGUUCUCAAGAGAAUCUUGCUUACGUUUUUUUAAUGGUCCUUUGCAGGUCAUCCAAAUCGAUGAGGCUGCUUUGAGAGAAGGUCUGCCACUCCGCAAGGCGGAGCAUGCUUUCUACUUGGACUGGGCUGUUCACUCCUUCAGAAUCACCAACUGCGGUGUUCAGGACACCACCCAGGUAAUUUGCCUUGAUUACACUGUCGCUGGAGCCUCGCAUUGUCAUCGCCUAUCUUCUGGAGCUAAGAAAUUUCUCUUUGACAGAUCCACACCCACAUGUGCUACUCUAACUUCAACGACAUCAUCCACUCCAUCAUCAACAUGGACGCUGAUGUGAUCACCAUCGAGAACUCCCGGUCCGACGAGAAGCUGCUCUCCGUCUUCCGCGAGGGUGUGAAGUAUGGUGCUGGCAUUGGCCCUGGUGUCUAUGACAUCCACUCCCCAAGGAUCCCGUCCACAGAGGAGAUUGCGGACCGCGUCAACAAGAUGCUCGCGGUGCUCGACACUAACAUUCUCUGGGUGAACCCUGACUGCGGUCUCAAGACCCGCAAGUACAACGAGGUCAAGCCCGCCCUUACCAACAUGGUUUCGGCCGCCAAGCUCAUCCGCACCCAGCUCGCCAGCGCGAAGUGAGGAUAUCCAUAGCUGCAAGUUCCCUUCGGUUGCGAGGACGAUGCCGUCAUAGCCAUCUGUUUUUGAAUAAUCUGGGUCCAGUGGAUCCAAUUGUCUGUGGUUAGGUUUAGUCAGUCUCGGUGGGAAGAUCCCUCAUACCCGUUUUACUUUUGAAUCAAUUUGGUGGUUUUUGAGGCAGUUUGUCGGUGUAUUUGUAUUGUGUGUAAUCUGAGUGGGAAUCAGCAGUGUUUCAUCUGCAUCUGAAUCGUUGCGGAUCAAAUUACAAAAUUUUCAAGGAGAGUUCUUGAUGUUAUGGUCUUCCAACUACCUAAGUGUUUUGUGUCAGUUGUUCACCUGAGUUGAGAGUGGUUGAUUUCUGAUGAUUCCUUGCUGGUGGAGAUCACUUUGCAUUUUAUUUAGAUAUAAAGCCAGUCACUUGAAAUAGUUAGAUGUUGGGAUUUGAACACAUUGUUGUAAGCAUGCAACAUUAGCAAACUGUUCAUGGUCAUUUCUGGUCUGGUUGCUUGGAUCAGGACAUGAAAUGGAUUGAAAGUGGAACAAAAGUAUGCUUGCAAUGAGCAGUACCAUUUUGGUUAUUGUGGUCUUUGAGUGUAUGCAUUUGCAUUGCAGGUGGUGUUAAUUUACAUGUAAAUCUCAUUAGCUUAACAAAUACUGUACUUAAUUACAUAUCACAAUUGGCAAAUUCAUGCUCUUUUUCGUCAGAGACAUGAGAAGAGUGGCUGUCUUGCUUCUUUCUAGCUACCACGGUGCGACACGGGACAUGAGUCAUGACAAGCACCGUCGUAUGGGUCCACGCAUGAAUCUAUUAAAAACCUAUUAAAAACGUUUUCUUAUAAUGUGAAACGGGUGUUCCAUCGGUUGCUCAUAUUUCCUAAUAAAUUUAAACAGCUUAUUAGGGAAUAAAAAUUAUUUUAUACAUAAAACUUUUAUAUAUUUGUUCGUAGCGAAUUAAAAGUCAAUGAUAAAAAAAAUUACGUUAAAAAUAUCUCAAAAAUCAAUUUCCAAAUCAAGUUGAAAAUUUUAAAUUUUGGUUUAUUAGGCGAACCGACGGGGGUUUAUUGGAUCAUGACAUGUUUCAGCGUGUGGCCUUGACAAAGAUAGUGAUGUGCAAGUAGAAAAUCCAUGGAAAUUAUCGACGAGUUUUUAGUUUUGACCCCAGCACAGAGAUGAUUGGCUCUAUCUACUACUCCAUCUUUGGUGAAUCACAGCCAUAAUAAUUUUUUUUUCUGUUCAAAAUCUGAAUUUUGUGACUGCACUCCCAUUUUCACCCAAGUAAGUGUGAACUUCCCCUGAUUGCAACCUUGAAAAAAUGAAGUGCAUAUGCAUAGAGUCAGAAUAACAUUUCAUUAUCCACCAACCCCCAUGGGAGUUAGGAGCGCCUAACAUUUCUUCUUCUUUGAUAUCCACCAACCCCCAUGGCCCCACAUAAGUAAGCAUCAUUGAUCAACUCCCCUCUACCAUGACAUGAACACAUAAACUCCUGCCUAAUAUUCUCAACAAAAUGGACUUCCCAUGAUACAAAAAUACUCAACUUCAUGCAUGCAAAAUGAGGAGAUAUUUGCAGCUAAGGUGACCCCAUCAUGGUUGUUAAGAGUAGGAGGAGCACCAAUUGAAGGAUUUCAAGUAUAUUCCAUGUUCAUUCUUGAUUGGCACGAUCUAAUCAAGAUUCCAGUAGUUUCAAAAAAGAAAAAAAAAGAAAAUCAAGAUUCCAGUGAAGCACUUUAAAUUUCCACUACUCCUACUGCUCCAGUCUCCACAUGGUUUGCAUUGAGUUCUAAGAUAGUCAGUGCUCAGUACCAUGUUGUAUAUGAUGAACAUUCAUUUGCAUUUGGAGUUGGACAAAAGGAGUUCUGCAAAUGUAAACUGAGUUUCAGACUUUUUAUACAUUUCUGAUUUCAGUAACAUUGCAUCUACAGCAUAAACGAUCUGCUUAACUUUAUGGCUAACUUUAUACAUUGGUUGGCUAAACUCUUGUUAGAGUACUUCCUAAGUGGGAUUUGGUAUAAGUAAAGGUUCAUUGAAUCCAGACAUAUUGCAGACUAUCCCAGAUCGACAAAAAACUGUGGCUUGAAAGUUCAGUCACACCUCAUCUCAAGAAAAUUUCCUCUCCAAGCUCUUCUCAGGAUUCAUCAAAAGUUGGUUAAUUUACUGAACCCAAAGCCAGACACAAUUUUAUUUUUUCAAGGAGCUUGGAUCCAACACUGAUGUGAUUAAAAAACCCCAAACCUGGAUCAAAUAAAUCUUGUACUACUACAAUAGUACUCUACUGUACUAGUACUGCAACUACAAACAAGACACAUGAAGACAAUGUCACGUGAAGAUCUGCCAUUGGUCCGUGCUGCCUCCAAUGGCGAUAAAAAACUGUUUACUUUGUCGGUAACUGUAAUUAGCGACUGAUAAUUCGUGUUUACUUAUUAUAAGCUUGAGGCUCUAUAUGUUGCAGGACAGCAUGGACAGCAAUCAUGCAAGAACGUGCUAUCACAGUCAGUACUCACAGCCUCUUGUCCCUUUCUAUGGGAAUAUAAUAGUCCCUUCAAUUCUUUUUCUUAAUUUUUCUCCUCUAAAAUGAAUGACUGAAUUGUCUAAAUUAAGUUGUAUGCGAGAUUGUUUGUGCAGCAUUUUAAGGUAGACUAUAGUGGAGAAUUUGUUGGUGUUCAGUUUUCUCUUUUGAGAAAUAGUGUCAUCAGUAUGUUUUACUAGCUUGUACCCAAAAUUUCCCUACUUCCUUAUUUAUCAUUUAAAAUUGUCUCUUCCACUGUGUUUUCAUAAUUUUAAGAGGGUGGGUAGACAGGAAUCAAAGUGGUAAAGAGCUUUAGUAAAAUGUCUAGAUCCCUCACAGAUUCCUUCACAAAUUAUUCAAGAGGACUGAAUUCUCUGGAUACAAAAUAUUUCUUUGUUGAUCGUAUCUCAUAUCACAAUCCAUUGGAAAAGAUGGAGGGUAAUUCCAAAGGAAAAGUGUAUACUGGACUAAACUAAAUUAAACAAUUUUUAAACUUCACACAAAAUGAAACUAUGACAACCGUGCAAGAGCCUCCAGGCCACCAUCUCACCAACCACAGCCUCUCUCACCAACUCUGCUCCUCCAAUUGUUAAUUUAAGGAGAGAAUGACUUUUCUUUUAGCUAAUAACUAUACUAAUACUAUAUUUGUGCUCAAUAAUUACGUGACUUUCGGCACUAAAAAAAUGGAGUUACAUUUGUACAUGUAUAGCUAGCUAGCAUUAGCCCAUAAUACGAUGUGGUAAACCAUUAUUUAAUUUAGUCGUCAUGCCUCAUCAUGCAUAAACGUGGAAAAGGCAGACAAACUUUCUCAAAGGCAGCUUUUUUUGUUUUUGGUGGAAACACAAUUGGCUUGAGUUGGGUACAUGAUCAUAGCUACACACAGAAAAAAAAACUUCUGAAAUAAUCAGAUAUGUAAACCUUAGCUAACAAUAAACAAUUAUUUUUGAACAGCUUGGUCAGAAUAUAUUUUCAAACAACAGUAAUGAAAAACAGGUCAAACUUACAACAAAUAAUAUGAAAAAUAUUUCUCCAUUUUCUUGAGAAAACAAAUCAAAUCACAACCCACAUGUAUAUUUGAAACUACUAUUAAAAAUGGAUAUUUUAGCCACCGAGAUAUUACAUAAUAAUUUCUAAAUUAGUUUUCUAUGCGGCAAGAGAUGAGGAUCAUAAUCAUUAAAAGUAUGCAUAUUAUGAUACUAUGUUAAGUGGAACAAGUCCUAAUUUGUAGUGAUCCAUCAUUUAACCUGGACAAUUAAUCUCUACCCACACUAAAAUGGUGCAAGCUUAGCUACACAUCAUACACAGAAAAACACAAUAUUGCACAAUCUAGAGAUGCCGUAGACUCGAAUAGUCAUUUUCCAUGUAAAUAUGAUAUUAUAAUUAACUCAUGCGUAGGCUAAUGUAGCAAUAGGGAUAUGGACAUUGUCAAAAGUGGUUUAAAAGAAGGUUAAUUAUGAUGAUAUGUGGUAACUGGAGCACGACCUAAUUUACGGUGAUCAUCCAUAACUUAACAUUGACAAUUACUCUUACCGACAAUAAAAAAAGGUUCAUGACUAAUGAAAUACUACCAGAUUUGAGUAUUGUACUGCACAAGCUGGUGUACUUGCACGACACAAACUUGUUUUCAGAUAAAUAUCCCAUACUGCAAUACUUUUGAAUACAUAUUUUUGUAAAUGGAGAUGUCAUUGGAGCGGUCCGAAGAACUAUGAUGACAUGGUAACUCAAGUACGACCUAAUUUACAGUGAUCAUCCAUAACUUAACAUUGACAAUCAAUCUUACGGUCUUACCAACACUAAAAAGGCUCAUGGUGAAAUGAAAUGCUACCAUAUUUGAGUAUUUGACAUGGGACACCCCAUACCAACUUGUUUUUAGGGGGAAAAUAAAUAUUUAGGACUGGUUUUGUCUGGGGCUUGACCUUAACAAUUUUUGCUAAUGUUAAAUUUCGGCAUAGCCUCUUUUGACAAUGUAAUACUAUUAAAAAUACCAAAUAUUUGUAAGGCCAAUUUAGGCCACAAAUGAAACCAACCUGAAUCUCUUUUAUUAAUAUAUUCUUAUUCUAUAUCCUUUAUAAAUGAAUUUCCCUAAAAAAUUAGCCCCAAUCCUAUAUGCUUAAUCCAUAAAUUAUUCUAACCAUCAACUAAAAAAACCCUAAAAAAGUUUAUUCUUGCAAUUGCUCAUGAUACCCUCUUGUAGCUCAUAGGUAUAUUUUUUCUAAAGUUCAAUAUUGUCGACGAGUGAUACUCGCGGACCGGAUGAGUAGAGUAUUGGGGUACGUUGGAACGAGGGUUUACAUAGUACGACAUCAAAGCAGACAAAAGGCAAGGAUUAUACUGGUUCAGACCCUUAUCAGGUAAUAGCCCUAGUCCAGUUUAUAUGGGAUUGAUGAUGAUGAGAACAGAUUACAAAGAGAGUAGUCAAAACAGAUGAUACCGACGAGAUCGUAGUCGAGGGUUUCGACGAGAUCUCUCGGCAAGUUGGCUCCGCGUACUCCAGCUUCGUAAGCUUUGGUGGGUGUGUUGGCGAAGAGAUUCUGAUCCGAACCUCUCCCAAGGGGUCCCCUUUUAUACCGUGAGUCAUCUUGAUCCCCAAGAAAGGUUUUGAGGAUAUCGGACCUGGGACGGUCUAACGGAAACUUUAUCCCUUACGAGUAGAACUUUAUAAAUCACUUGACUCGUAAAGAUAUUUUCCUUAAUUUGAAGUAACUUCCAUACGACAUAUAUGUAAAUAAUCCGUAUACGUAAAGGUAUACCAUAUUGGUAUAUUUCACAAGUCGCAGGAUAGAAGGUAUGCCUUAUCCGUAACCCUGACAAAUAUCCCUCUUACUAACUAGAAAUAAAAUAAUUAGUUCAAACUCCCAAAAUGGUGCUAUCUAUAUAGACACUAUAUAUAUUACCAUUUGCAAAAAAAAAAAGAAGAAGAAGAAGAAGAAGAAAAAUAUUCCCUUCAUUUUUAUCUAGUUGACGCGGGUUAGUUCCAUUUUGCACUAACCAACAUCAAAUUUUUUAAAAAGGAGGGAUUGUAUAUUAUCACAAUAGUUUUUAAUACAUACAUGGGAAAGGCCAAAAGUCGCAUAACAACAAAAGGGUAAAUGUGCUUUUCAUCGAAGAAAAAGAAGUUCAAAAUCUACCCUUAGUCCAAAUGAUCAUGACAAACAAAAUAGGACAUAAUCCCUGCGGUUCCAUAAUUCUUGACGUCCUUACCAAUAACACAGGGCAUCAUUUUUUCGCUUAUGCUUAUAUUUAUCAGCCAAAAUUUGAAUUUUCAACCUUAAAUUUGGAGCUGAUUUUAAGGAUUUUUUUUUAUCGAAGUUUAUUUUUCAGCUUUUGCUUUUAGAUCGCUAAGAACGCACAUAUAAAAAUUUUAUUCACAUACUACUUUUCGUUUGCAAAUAUGCCAUUUCGCUUAUUCCGAGAAUAAGUGAAACAAUGGCUCCAAUAGUCUUUAAAAUAUAUCUUUGAUUAUGUUUUUAUCUUAAAUAUAUAUACAUAUAUAAUAAAUAAAUAUAAUUUUACUUUUAUCAUAAUAUUUUUGAAAAAUAAAUAUCUCUAUGUAUAUUGUUCUAUUAUAUUUAUAAACUAAAUACUUUUAAAUUAUUUGUACUUCUAAUUAAAUUUAUAAAAGUUUCACCUCGACCGAAUUAUGAAACCGUUGCGAGUAUAAGAGAAAACACAAUCUUAACAAAACAUUAAGAUGAAAAGGAUGAAACUUUUCAUCUUAAAAAACCGUGCACAAAACACAAUCCUAAUAAGUACUUCAUUCGUUUUAUAUUAUAAGACUUUCUACCAUUUCUUUUAUUUAUAUAGAUGUUAAUGAAUUUAUACGUAAUAUGAAACGGAAUGAAGUAGUAAAACAUUCAGAUGAAAAAGAUGAAACUUUUCAUCUGAAAAACCGUGCACCACCAGAUGAGCCUCUGCUUUCAGAUCUCACCAACCAACCAAAAAAAAAAAUCUCCUCUCUUCUUAUAUAAAUAAGGAACUCUCCCAAACCCCUCUUCUCCGUCCUCCUCCUCCUCCUCCCUCGCCGUCCGCCGCCGCCGCUCGCUUCCUCCCCUCUCCCACGGUAAGCCCGCGCCGCCGCUCUCUCCCUCUCCUCCGUCACCCUUCCCUUCCUCCGAAUCGGCCGAGUCUGUCAGCGACGGAGACCGCGCCGGGAUCCGUGCCCAUUCGCGUAGUAGCGGCGAGCGACGGUUUUUUUUUUUUUUGCCUGCAAAGUCGGUCGCUUUCGUGUGGCGUCGGGUCGGGGAGAAUGGAUCGAUCUGUUCGUCUUGAUCGGAUGGAUUGAUCGAUCAAUCGAUCUUGGUGGGAUCCGAUCUGAAUGAGGUUUUUGGGUUAGGAAAUGGAGUGAAAGAUUGGACUUUUUUUUUUGUCGGUGUGUUGCACGGUUCGUUUAGGAUUGGAUCUGUGUUUUCUUCCGUGGAAAAUCUUCCAUUUUUCACUGCAAGUGCACAUUUGUGGCCUCUUCAGUACUUGUGUUUCUAAACCCGGGGGGUUUUUGGAUCUGACACCGAGGUUUAGUCCGUGUUGUCAUAUGUUUUUUCUCAAAUUCUGUUACGAUAUUCUCCUAUUAUAAAUGCAUUACGGUGUACUAGACCCUGUGAUCUGUGGAGUACAUGUUAAGGUCGUGCUUCCAGUACCAUCGCAUCUACUGUCAUUUGGUUGCCAUCUCGUAUUAUUUGGUUAGGAAUUUGCAAUUGCCUGCAUGCUAAUAAAUGAAUUGUUGUUUGUAUGGCAUGCCAAACAAGAUCCAACUACUUUGCUGCUGGUGUGAGAGGGACAGUGUCUCCCACCAAUUGUAGUUGGUCUUAUGUACCCACCACUUUGGGCUGGGUCCUACUACAUGCUAGUGCUGGUUGGUGGUGUACCUAACCCAUAUACUAGUAUCAGUUUAGUCUAUUCUUUUAGCACCACUGGAUCUGGUGAUAUAGCCCCAUGUAUAGGAAUCAGGAAGAUUAGUAGAACAGAAAACACAAAAGUAUGCUUUAAUAGUUGGAUGGCAUAUACCUUUAUUCGGAUCACCGUUCCAAAUGUGACGUUAGUAUCCGUUAGUGGCAUGCUUUUUAAUCUAACAAGGCGUUCUUCAUCGUGUGGUUAGCAUAUGGAUAUGUGUAAUCUUGUUAGCUAAAUCAUAAUUUUCGUAUGUAUUCACAUGACAUUUCGAUGAAUCAAACUGAUCGUAGUACAAUUGUUUCUAUAGAAAGAUGGCGUCUCACAUUGUUGGAUACCCCCGCAUGGGCCCCAAGAGGGAGCUCAAGUUUGCCCUGGAGUCUUUCUGGGAUGGGAAGAGCAGCGCUGAGGAUUUGGAGAAGGUUGCGACCGACCUCAGGGCCAGCAUCUGGAAGCAAAUGGCUGACGCUGGGAUCAAGUAUAUCCCCAGCAACACCUUCUCGUACUAUGAUCAGGUUCUUGACACGACCGCCAUGCUUGGUGCUGUCCCAGAGCGCUACUCAUGGACCGGUGGAGAGAUUGGGUUCAGCACCUACUUCUCGAUGGCUAGGGGAAAUGCCACUGUCCCUGCUAUGGAGAUGACCAAGUGGUUUGACACCAACUAGUAAGUACUUUGCUUCCAUUUAAGAUGUCUGACAGUAAACAUUUUAUUUAAUUUUUAUAUUCAACAUUUUAGCUAACUGGUGCUGUUUACCUUUACAGCCACUUUAUCGUCCCUGAACUUGGUCCCAACACCAAGUUCUCCUACUCUUCCCACAAGGCUGUGAAUGAAUACAAGGAGGCCAAGGCGGUAAGAUAAUAGAAUUAUAUCUUUACAUCUCUGUCUGCUUAAUGAUUUUUUUUCUCUGCCUGACUAGAUGUCGCUAGCACAUUGCUUAAUGUCAUCAAUAUCCUAGUUCAUAAAGUUAUUUAUUAGUUUAUUUUGUUGCCUUUUGUUAUGAUGCUAAUUCAAACAUCAAGUUUUAGUAGUGAUCAAUUGUUUCUUAGUUGUGCAUUUAUAUAAUAAUUUUGUUUAGAAAAGAAUCUGAUGUAGAUUAAGUGCUGGCUUGUAAAUUAUGUUUUGGAAGAUUGUCACUUCCACAGAUUAAUGGCCUGUAAAUGACAAGCCCACCAAGUCAGUUCGUUUCUUUAGUGCUGUAUUAAUACGGCCAAACAAAUUUUGGCCCCUUGCUUAGAAUUUUGAAUGUAGCACUUUCAGAUUGACUAUGACUAGAGUUCACUUUAAAGGUUAUGAAAUAAUUUUUUUGCACUAUAUGUUGUUUUCAUCUUUUUUCAAAAAGCUGCCCAUGUUGAUCUGUGGCAAUAUUUUUUUUUUCUAAUUUCACAUAUUCUUUAUUGGUGAUUGGUGAAUUUACCUGAAAAGUUCUUUGAUUAAAUAUGUUAUCUUGUUCCAGUUUGUGAAUAGUGGCACUGCUGUUUCAAGCAUCAAAUUCUGAAUUUUGUUGUAGUCCUGAAAUGAAAAUCACAGUGCCCUAUUUAUUAAGAUGUAAUCUGGUUGCCUUAAUGUCUCCUAUGUAAUUGUUCUUCAUGCAGCUCGGCGUUGACACCGUGCCAGUACUUGUUGGACCAGUUUCAUACUUGUUGCUCUCCAAGCCUGCCAAGGGUGUAGAGAAGUCGUUCGCUCUUCUUUCCCUUCUCAGCAGCAUCCUUCCUGUCUACAAGUAAGUGUACAAACAAGUCUAUAACUACUGCUAGCGCUAAAUCUUCAGUUCAUAAUUUGAUGCAUGAUGAUUUGUAGGGAGGUUAUUGCUGAGUUGAAGGCAGCUGGUGCUACAUGGAUUCAGUUUGAUGAGCCCACACUUGUUCUUGACCUUGACUCUCACCAAUUGGCUGCAUUCUCUGCAGCGUACACAGAACUCGAGUCGGCACUUUCUGGAUUGAAUGUGCUUAUUGAGACAUACUUCGCUGACAUUCCUGCUGAAUCAUACAAGUAUGUUUAUUUCCUCUACUAUCGUAUCAUUAUCGAACCUGCCUUUCCUUUAUCAUUCUUCUUUUUAUAGUGGCAGAACACUGAAUACUGCCUUUUCACUGCAGGACCCUCACAUCCCUGAACAGCGUGACUGCUUAUGGUUUUGACCUUAUCCGUGGUUCCAAGACUCUUGACCUUGUCAAGAGUGCUGGUUUCCCCUCUGGCAAGUACCUCUUUGCUGGUGUUGUGGAUGGACGCAACAUCUGGGCUGAUGAUCUCGCCGCAUCUCUCACCACCCUCGAGUCUCUUGAGGCUAUUGUUGGAAAGGGUAAGCAAUUAAGCAUGAAGUUAUUAUAUAUGUUAUAUUUUAAUGGGCACAAUUUGCAGUAUCCAAUAAUAUCCUCAAUUUCUGCUCAUCCAACAAUACCUUUCAUUUCUGUAGACAAGCUUGUGGUCUCGACUUCCUGCUCACUCAUGCACACCGCUGUGGAUCUUGUAAAUGAGACCAAGCUCGAUAGCGAGAUUAAGUCAUGGCUUGCUUUUGCUGCCCAAAAAGUGGUUGAGGUGAAUGCCCUUGCUAAGGCAUUGGCUGGACAGAAGGAUGAGGUAUGGUACUCUUUUUUGCCCUUUAUCUAUUCUCACCUCUUAAUUAGAGCCUGAGCAUAGUACUCAUUACUCAAUAGCAUUUGAAGAAACUUCUGCUCAUUUAUACAUUUGUGAACAAUAUUGUACAGGCUUACUUUGCAGCAAACACUGCUGCUCAGGCCUCCAGGAGGUCAUCACCUCGUGUGACAAACGAGGAAGUCCAAAAGGCUGUAAGUACCUUCUGUUUUUAGGCUGCAUGCUUGAUUCUAUUCAACAUAACUUGGCCUGUUUUUCUUAAUAUCAUGUUAUAUUGCUUGUGCAGGCUGCUGCUCUGAGGGGGUCUGACCACCGCCGUGCUACCAAUGUUAGCGCUAGGUUGGACGCACAGCAGAAGAAGCUCAACCUUCCAGUCCUUCCUACAACCACAAUUGGUUCAUUCCCACAGACUGUGGAGCUCAGGAGAGUCCGCCGUGAGUACAAGGCUAAAAAGUGCGUAACAGUCCACAUCAACGCUUCACCGUUUUCCCCCUUUUUUUUGUCUAUAUUGCUAAUUACAAUUCCUGCUACAGGAUCUCUGAGGAUGAGUACGUCAGUGCCAUCAAGGAGGAAAUCAGCAAGGUUGUUAAGAUCCAGGAAGAGCUUGACAUUGAUGUGCUUGUUCACGGCGAGCCUGAGGUCAGUAUCCUCGUGUACUACUUGUGUUUAGUGUUUAUUACUAGACUUUACACUUGGCUGUUUGAGAAAACAAUAUUAUUAGAUUUAUUGACUCAUUAACAAAGUUUGGUUUGUUCUGCAUUGAAGUAAGCUAACUGGCAUGUAUUUUACAGAGAAACGAUAUGGUUGAGUACUUUGGUGAGCAGCUUUCUGGUUUUGCAUUUACUGCCAAUGGAUGGGUGCAAUCCUAUGGAUCCCGGUGUGUCAAGCCACCAAUUAUCUAUGGUGAUGUGAGCCGCCCCAACGCCAUGACUGUGUUCUGGUCCAAGAUGGCGCAGAGCAUGACCUCUCGCCCCAUGAAGGGAAUGUUGACUGGUCCCGUCACAAUCCUUAACUGGUCUUUUGUCAGGAAUGACCAGCCGAGGUCCGUGCCUGUUGUUGAUGAUGCAAUGCUAAUUAUUCAGGUUGCGAUUGAGCUUUCUGUUGAGGCUGACAUUUUCACACUUGCUCAGGUUUGAGACAUGCUACCAGAUUGCUCUUGCCAUCAAGAAGGAGGUCGAGGACCUUGAGGCUGGUGGUAUACAGGUUGGACCUGUUCUAUAAUUUUGUUCUCAAGUGAAUACGCAAAACAUGAUCAUCUUGCUUACGUCUUUUUAAUUGUCCUUUACAGGUCAUCCAAAUCGAUGAGGCUGCUUUGAGAGAAGGUCUGCCCCUCCGCAAGGCGGAGCAUGCUUUCUACUUGGACUGGGCUGUUCACUCCUUCAGAAUCACAAACUGCGGUGUUCAGGACACCACCCAGGUAAUCUUUCUUCCAUCAGACUGUCACUGUAGGCUUUCAAUAUCAUCACCAAUCUUCUGUAACUUAAACUGAACAACUUUCUCUCGACAGAUUCACACCCACAUGUGCUACUCUAACUUCAACGACAUCAUCCACUCCAUCAUAAACAUGGACGCCGAUGUGAUCACCAUCGAGAACUCCCGGUCCGACGAGAAGCUGCUCUCUGUCUUCCGCGAGGGUGUGAAGUAUGGUGCUGGCAUUGGUCCUGGUGUCUACGACAUCCACUCCCCCAGGAUCCCGUCCACGGAGGAGAUUGCGGACCGCAUCAACAAGAUGCUUGCGGUGCUCGACACUAACAUUCUCUGGGUGAACCCUGACUGCGGUCUCAAGACCCGCAAGUACACCGAGGUGAAGCCUGCCCUCACCAACAUGGUUUUGGCCGCCAAGCUCAUCCGCACCCAGCUCGCUAGCGCGAAGUGAGGAUCGCCUUUGCAGCAAGUUCCCUUCGAUUUUGAGGAGGAAUGCCAUCAUAGCCAUCUUGUUUUUGAAUAAUCUGGGUCCAGUGGAUCCACUGUCUGUGGUUAGGUUUAGUCAGUCUCUUGGGGCCAAGAUCACUCAUACCCAUUUUACUUUGAAUGAAUUUGGUGGUUUUUGAGGCAGUCUGUCGGUGUAUUUGUAUUGUAAACUGAGUGGAAAUCAGCAGUGUUUCAUCUACAUCUGAGUUGUUGCGGAUCAAAUUACAAAAUUUUCAAGGAGAGUUGAUGUUAUGUUCUGCCAAGUACCCAAGGCUUUUGUCUGGUUUUCACCCGAGUUGAUAGUUUUCUGAUGAUUUCUUGCUGUGUUAUCACUUUGCAUUCUUUUACUCGUGCUUAUGUGCUGUUCAUGAUGAUAUAUAAAUCCAAUCACUUGAAAGACUUCCAUGUUGGGAUUUGAACACAAAUUGGCUUACUUCUGUAGGCAUAUUCAACAAUAGCAAACUCUUCAUGUUCAUUAGGAAAUGAAAUGGAUUGAAAAUGUAACAAAAGUAUACUUGCAAUUAGUAGUACAUUUUGGUUAUUAAUGUGGUGUUUCAGUAUACACAUUUGCAGGUGUUAAUUUACAUGUAAUCACAUUAGCUUAAUUACAUAUCAUUCACAUUUGGCAUCUGUUUGGUCAGAGACACAAGAGUCAAGAGCUCAAGGUGCGCCACACGGAUACGAUGAUCCCGACGAGCACCGCCGCCGCCGCCGCCAUGUUCACCAUCAGCCUCCUCUCCUCCGCCUCCCUCCUCCCACCUCCGCUCGCCGUCGCCGUCGCCGGCGGCCGCUCCUCCUCCGCUGCUGCCGCUCCAGCUCGACCCAUUUCUUGCGCCUCCUUCUCUCUCUUCUCCUCUUUCCUCUUCUGCUUCGAAAGCGGCGUAGUCGCCGGUAGCCUUGGAUCGCCGCCGUUUGCUGCUGGACUUGGCGCAGGAAGCGGCGGCCGUGGCGAGUCUUUUGUGCUCGGCGGCGACGAGGAUGUCGGCUUGCCGGCGGCGGGCUUUGCUGGUUCAGGGGUGAUAGCCGGAGGCGGGGUCCAAUACCGCUGUGACGGUUGCUGCGGCGGCGGCGGCGGCGAUGGCGGCGGUGGCUUUGGCUUUGUUGGUUCCGGAGGAGUCACUGCCGUUGGAGACCAAUAAUCCUCUGGCGGCGGUGGCAGCGGCGAUGGCGGCGGCGGCGAGGGCUUUGGCUCGAGAACACGUGGCAUCUUCACCGGAGCUCGUGGUGGUGGUGGUGGUGGCUGCGGCUUUGGCUCGACAACGGCAGGGGUGUCCCCCGGAGUUCGUGGUGGUACUGUAGGCGGCGGCGGCGGCGGAGAUGGUGGUGGCAAUGUUGGUGGCGGCUGUGGCUUCGGCUGCACAACGGGGGGCUUCACCGACGGUGGACGUGUCGGCGGCGGCGGCGGCGGAGAUGGUGGUUGCAAUGAUGGUGGCGGCUGUGGCUUCGGCUGCACAACGGGGGGCUUCACCGACGGUGGACGUGGCGGCGGCGGUGGCGGCGGAGGAGGAGGUGGUGGUGGCAAUGACGGUGGCGGCUGGGGUUUCACCGGAGGUGGACGGUGCGGCGGCUCAACGCGCGUACGAGUACGAGGAGGCGGCGGCGGCGGCGGCACCGGCGACAGAGCCGGCGGCGUCUUGAACUCCGGCGACGUCGCCGAGGACUCGUCGACGUCGACGGCGGCGGCGACGAGGGGGAGCGUGAUGAUGAGCUUGUGGUCGUCGAACCUGGCGCGGACGGCGUCGGCGUCGCAGUUGUCGGGGAGGCGGAGGUCCUUCUUGAAGCGCACCCACCUCCCCCCCCUCGCCGCCGGCGGCCGCUCGCCGGUGGCGCGGAGCAUGCCGUGGUUGUCCACCUGCACCCUCACCUGCUCCUUCCUGAACCCCGGGAGGGCGAUCUCCACCACGUCCUGCUCCUCGCCGGCCUGUCUCCACUCCACCUCCGGCUCCACCUCCUCGUACACUCGCCGCUGCUCCAUCGCCGCCGCCGCCGCUCGCCGGAGUUCGAUGUGUACACGUCAACUAAGCUUGCUUUUGUGACAGCGACGUGUUGUAAUAAACAUUAUAUUACACUUUAUAUAGAUGCAUGCAAAUGUGUUGUGAGAAUGGAAUUAGAUAGAUAGCUUGGAUUGGUUGAUGGAGAUGGCAGGAGCAUAUGCAAUGCAACCUGGGUUAGGUUAGCUAAGCUAAUUAAGGUAGCCAUGGAUGGAGAUGGAGUGAGCUUGACGCCAUGGGUGACCUCCUUCCUUGGGGCAAGGACAUAUGCUUCUUUGCUUCCAGGGGCGGAUCCAACGUGAAUGUAGGGGGGACUCAUGGAUACCCCGGAGCACCCCUUCGAUUUUUUCACCAUAAAUGAUAAACUAAAGGUCCCUAAAUAGCUGGAUAUUGAAGAAACUGUGUAAUUGAGCCCCCCCCCAAUUUUUUUUUUCCUGGAUCCGCCCCUGUUUGCUUCCUUCAUGGCAGAUUUUUUUUUUUUUUUGCUACACCUGGUGUAUUGGAUCUUGGGUAAUACCAAAAGUUCAUCAUAGUUGGGCCAAUUGGGCCGCCUAUAUGCUUUUCAGGAAUUUCAGCCUAUUUGUUUUUUUUAAAAAAAGAAACAAUUUUGAAUUGGCAAUACUUCAUUUGGAGUUCUUAGGGAGAAAAAAAAUAUGUUAGUGCUGAUUUUAUUAUCAUGUAGUAUUAGUAAUAAGCAUCUGUGUAAGGUGUUUGUCUAUGUCCAUGUGGCUUGGAUUUGGGUAAUACCAAAAUCAGAAUUGGGCCUGUUCUGUUGGGCAUUGGACUUCCAGGGACAGCAGCCUUUUUAUUUUCUUUUUAACGAAGAAUUUUGAAUUGAGAAUGUUUGUUUUGAAAUUAGUUCUUCAGAUUUGAUAUUUCUUUUAGCUGCAAUUCCUUUCAGGGAGAGCAGUCUUUCUUUUUGUUUUAAAGAAGAAUUUGAAAUUGACCAUUAUUGUCCUGAAAAAAGUUCUUCAGACUUGAUGUUACUUUUAGUUGCAAUUCCAUUUCUGUUUGUUUUAAACAAUAAUUCGAAAUUGACAAUAUUUGCCCUCAAAUUAGUUCUUCAAGCUUCAUGUUUGUUUUAGUUGCAGUUUGCAAAGGUACUUCUUCACUUUCCAAGUUUUAAAGUUGUACUUCUUUUUCAGCAUAGUUCUUCAUGAGUCUUAUCUCUUCAGCCUACCUAGCAAAACUUAGUAAUUUAGGCAUGUUUUUUUUUUUGGUGAUAGGGAGGAAACCAUAUUGCUAAUCCCUUUUUCUUCAGUUAAUCUUCUUGUCAGUUCUGAACUGAAGCUCAAACAGAAGGGCACAACGAUUUGUACAAGAAAACCAAAACCAUCUGGGACUCUGUGCUUGGGUAGCAUUAUUCAGUUAAGAGAUGAUGUACACAUCCCAUGAGUCAAGUGUUUGCAGAUCAAGCAACCAGACAAGCAAAGCAAACGUGGAGAAUCUGUUUGCAUCUUGGGGUGGAUCAAAUUCUGCAUAAUUUUUUAAUACUGGUCCAAUACCAGUACAGGCUGCUGAUUUGUUCACACGCUGGUCACCCCCUCUGAAGAUAUUGUUCCUUGGAUGAUUGUCCUUGCUGGAUAAAGCUCCUUGCAUAAUGGAGCACAGUUAACAAGGGGGAAGGACAAUAAGUUUCACAAGUAUCAAUCAGUUAUAUGAUGGUAAUAUAAGGCAUAAAGGCUUUUCCGGCACGCGGAAAAUUAGUAGGAAUGUCUCAAGAAUUUCAGAAAAAAAAAUCUCAUUCAAGGAGUUAGGGAAUUUCAGAAAAUUCAGAGUAGAAGACAAGAUCAUGUGAGAUCAAUCAACUGUACAAAAGAGGUCCCCAGCUUGUUAGGACAAUUCCAAGCUGGGAUUCAAUGAAUAGUCCUAGAUCAGGGUACCAGGCUACAAAAAGAGUAAAAUGCACCAGCGGUCCUUAAACUUGUCAGCAGGUUUCACUUAGGUUCACGAACUUGCAAAGCGCAUAUCGAGAUCCCUAAACUUGGUUUAUUCUAUCAUCCCGGUCCAAAGCCGUGUUUGACCGUGAUCUUGCCUACGUGGCAUACCACGUGGACGAUGAAAUAGAUUUUUUUUUAUUUUUUCUCCCUUCUUCCUUCUCUUUUCUCUUUUAUGAAAAGACGAUGACGUGUAUGAGGCAUUUUCAUGCUUUUCGGACAAGGAAGAAAGAGAAAAAAAAGAAGAAAGAAGAGAGAAAAAAUAAUUUAAAAAAUCUAUGUCAUCGUCCACGUGGCAUGCCAUGUAGGCAAGACCAUGGUCAAACGCGGCUUUGGAUUGAGAUAAUACAAUAAACCAAGUUUAGGGACCUUAAUGUGCGCUUCGUAAGUUCGUGGACCUAAGUGAAAUCUCCUGACAAAUUUAAGGACCGCUGGUGCAUUUUACUCCUACAAAAAAGUCAGUCUAGUGAUCACAAAUCCACUUAUACUACUACCCACCAUGCAUUGUGUUCAUCAUUUCUGACAGACAGGCACUGGCUCACUAGAAUUCUCACUCCUGUUAAUAAAUCAGAAACUUAAGUUGCAAAUGGUGGUUCCUUCUUGAGAUGAUCAUCUUGAUCUUCCAGAAGAACUUGACUGGAGAAGAGAAGAGACAAGGUGUUGAUGAUCCUACUGUAACUCAUGGAUCAGGAGAAGAUAUAUAGUCACCUGUGAUAGCUUAUCUGAAUUACUUACUGCGUGGUUCCAAUCUAACAGUAGCAUCUCCUGAUGUUGAGACCUCGAUUAGAUGGAUGGAUGUUGAGGCUAAUAGUUGUUCAUCCGUGUGGUGCCAAUCUGACAGUAGCAUCUCCUGGAUGCUCUUGUUCAUGGAAUGGCGUGUCGUCCAUGCAUUGGUCAGGCAAUUUGACAAUUUGUUCAUCGUCUAGCAGAGAGGAUAUAUGGUCAGGAAAGAGUUGAUGAGAUAAAAUUGCAGUUCGAGUACGGUUAUACUGCCGUCUUACCUGAUCCAAUAAUUGGAUGGAGAAUGUUGUGCCGGUAAGUAAACAGUAACAAGUUGUGAAUUUUCAUUAUCUGCUAGCUAGAGUGUCAGCUCUGAAGAAUAUAUCAGCAUAUGUAGAAACAUGAUGAACAUUAGUUUCAGCUGAUUUGUUUUCUUGUUACUGUCAUACAUCUCUGGUAAUAAUAGAAAUGGGAUAGGUUUUCCACUCUGUCUGAAAAAAAUAAUUCAGCUGAUAUUCCAAUCUCACUCACCUCACCUGCUGAAUUCCCAUAGCCAAAUAAAUUGAUUCCAUACCACCUAUUAUAGGGGAUAGAAAGGGGAGAGGUUUUCCUCUCUGUCUGGCCAAAAAAUAUUUCAGCUGAUAUUCCAAUCUAACUCACCUGCUGAAUUCCUAUAGCCAAAGAAAUUGAUUUAUUAGACAUACUCCCUCCGUUUCGAAAUGUUUGACACCAUUGACUUUUUAUCACAUGUUUGACCGUUUGUCUUAUUCAAAAAAUUUAAGUAAUUAUUAAUUCUUUUCCUAUCAUUUGAUUCAUUGUUAAAUAUAUUUUAUGUAGGCAUAUAAUUUUACAUAUCUCAUAAAAGUUUUUGAAUAAGACGAACGGUCAAACAUGUGCUAAAAAGUCAACGGUGUCAAACAUUUCGAAACGGAGGGAGUACCAAUUAUUGUAUCUUCAGAUUAGUGAGCUGCAUCAGAAAGUAGUAUGCAUGAUGGAAUCAGAGAAACAGGAGUAGCAGCUGCAGCAUCUCUCUUCCAAACCUUUAAAUACUAAUCCAACAAUGUUACUUUUGCUUACCAGAUAAGUUAACACCACAAUGAAUUAUCAAAUCCCAAAUGGUACUGAAUCAACACAAUAUAAUAUGGCAUAUAAGUUGACACAAAUGCAAACGACCACCACAAAGUGAUAAUUUAGUCCAAAGAGAACAUAAAAAAGGAAGAUGAGAGGAAUUCAGAAGAAGAGUUUUGAGUCAGUCAGUAUCAAGGUCAUGUGAUUGAUGAUUCAGCAUCCCUUGAGGCUCAGUGGCCUAAUGAGCUGCCACUUGUCCUAAUGACUCCACAUUUUCCUGUCAAUUUCCACACUAACUCUGAAACAAAGCUCAAAACACAGAGCAAAAAUCAAAGACCAAAACUUCCAUCUUUCUCUCUAGACCAACCAAGAACACUGCAUUUCCAGUACCAAAAUAAAACAAGAAAAACAAAGAAAACUACUUCCUCCGUUUCAGAUUAUAAGAUGUUCUGACUUUGGUCAAAGUCAAACUGCUUCAAGUUUAAUCAAGUCUAUAGAAAAAAAUAGUAAUAUUUUCAAUCCAAGCUAAUUUUAUUAUAAAAAUAUAUUUAAUUAUUAAUUUAAUAAAAAAACUAAUUUGAUAAUGUAAAUAUUACUAUAUUUGUCUAUAAACUAAGUCAAACUUAAAGCAGCUUGACUUUGAUCAAAGCCAAAACAUCUUAUAACCUGAAACGAAGAAAGUACAAGACAACUACAAGUUCCCAGCUUUCUCUUCCCAUUUCGAUUGCGGCCAUCUAUGCCAUCAAAAUCGUCGUAGCUUCACUACUCUCUCCCAAUCAUCACUAAGCUCCAACCUCCUCUCUGUCAUCUCCCAUGGCGGCCUUCUUGCGAACGCUGCACCGGCGAAGAACGCGCAAUGCCGCCGCCGCCGCGUUCUUGGCUCUCGCCGUCGUCGUCGUCGUCUUCUUCUUGUCCGUGUUCGUCGCCACGCGGAAUGAGGCUGACAUCUUCUUCAGUGGCGUCGCGGCGGCGAGCUCGUCGUCGCCGGAUUCCUCGUCCGGUGGGUGCAGGGAGCUGCAGGCGCUCGACGGCGAUGGCGCGAGGUGCCGGUAUCUGCGGGCGCACGCGCCGUGCGCGCCGGUGGGGUACGUGGACUACCUCCGGCUGCUGUACUGCGGGUUCGGGCGGGCGCCAUGGCUGGGCUACGCGGCGCUCGCGCUGUGGCUGCUCGUGCUCUUCUACCUCCUCGGCGACACGGCGUCGGCCUACUUCUGCGCCUCGCUGGAGGGGCUCUCCGCCGUGCUCCGCCUGCCGCCGGCGAUCGCCGGCGUCACGCUGCUGUCGCUCGGGAACGGCGCGCCCGACGUGCUCUCUAGCGUCGUGGCGUUCGCCGCGGGGGCACGCGGCGGCGACGGCGGCGGCGGCGGAGGGGAGGAUGCCGGGGAUGUUGGCCUCAGCGGCGUGCUCGGUGGCGCGCUGUUCGUGUCCACCGUCGUCGCCGGCGUGGUCGCUAUCGUCGCCGGGCGUCGCGGUGGUGGCGAGCCGGUGAUCAUCGAGCGGCGCGGGUUCGUGCGCGACGUGUGCUUCCUCCUCGUGGCGCUCUGCUACCUCCUCGCCGUGCUGCUCACCGGCGCCGUCACCGUCUGGUCCGCCGCGUCGUUCCUCUCCCUCUACGCCGGCUACGUCCUCCUCGUCUGGACCUCGCACUGCUGCGCCAACGCCUCCGACGAACUCGAAGUGGACGACACCAAGCAGCCCACCUCCGACCUCGCCGCGCCGCUCCUCGUCGUCGACGACGACGACGCGUCACCGCCUCCACUCCCCGUCUCCUCCUCCUCCAAGCCCACCUCCGCGCCGAGAACGUUCGCGCGCCGCCUCGUCGACCUCCUCCACUCGCCGCUCUACCUCCCGCGACGCCUCACCAUCCCGGACAUCGCGGCGCACCGGUGGUCGAAGCCCACCGCGGUGGCCACCGCGCUCCUCUCCCCGCUCCUCCUCGCCGCCACCACCGCGCCCACCACCACAGCGACCACCCUCCUCGCCGCCACGCUCGCGGGCGCCCUCCUCGCCGCCGCCGCGGCGGCCACCACGGACGCCGCGUCCCCGCCCAAGAGCCGCUCGGCCCGCCUCCCGUGGCUCGCCGGCGGGUUCCUGAUGUCGGUGCUCUGGUCGUACGUGCUCGCGCGGGAGCUCGUCGCGCUGCUGGUCUCCAUCGGCGUGGCGGCCGGCGUGGAGGCCGGCGUGCUGGGCGCGACGGUGCUGGCGUGGGGGAACUCGCUGGGCGACCUGGUGGCGGACGUGGCGCUGGCGACGCGGCGCGGCGACGGCGGCGCCGGGGCGCAGACGGCGGUGGCGGGGUGCUACGCGGCGCCGGCGUUCAACACGGUGGUGGGGCUGGGGCUGUCGCUGACGGUGGCGGCCGGGGCGCGGCACCCGGAGGCGUACGCGGUGGAGGGCGGGGCGGCGGUGUACGUGGCGGUGGGGUUCCUGGCGGCGGCGCUGGUGUGGGCGGUGGCGGUGCUGCCGGCGAGGGGGAUGAGGCUGGACGCGGUGCUCGGGGUGGGCCUCCUCGUCAUCUACUUCGUCUUCCUCUGCGUCAGCCUCGCCAUUCUCACGCCAUUGCCUUCACCACAUUAACUUCAUUUUUCUUCUUUGCAAAUUGAAUUGCAAAGAUGAUGAUGGUGAUGAUGCUAGAUUGGUUGGGUUGGUUGGUGUCAAGUGUUAAUUUGGGUGAUUAGUUAUUAAUUAAUUGCAUGGUAUUUUGUUCAUGCAGAAUUGGGAAGAUGAAAUGCUUUGUAGUAGUAUAUGACUUGUCAUGAAAUGUAAAUAGAAGAGCACAUAUAGAUGCAAUGAAAUAAUGCAUAGUAGUACUAGCUUUUUCACCGGAAUGGUUGAAUAGUGAGAUGAUUUGUAAUAAUUAUUCGAGCAUAUAGAUGAACAAUUUAAAUACCAUAAAGUUAUAAAAAUGAAUAUGAGAUAGUUUGCUAUAUAUAUAUAUAUAUAUAGUUUUUUUUUUGGAAAACUACGUUAUUUAAAAGUUCAGAAAACGUGCGCAUUCUAUUAGUCUGAAAUAUAUACAAAUUUCCGAAAUGUUUUCUUUUCUCUGUGAGUACGUACUACUGAACUAGUACAGCAUACAGAAUGUGUACUCUACAGUGACUGAAGCGUGUAGCUCGAUCAAACAAUUUGAUUAGCGGAAUUUCGUAGUCAUUAAAUUUGUUUUUAGUGGCUGGGCCACAAUAAUAAUUUGAUUUUAGUUGGACUUGCAGAGUGGAGUCCUUGCUGGGCUUCGUUUUCUAGUUGCAUUACACGAACGUGUAUGAUACGAUACGAUUGCCUAUUUGCCAUGUGCUUCUCACUCUGAUACGAUUCCCAUAUCUGACAUCUAGUAGUCAUCAACUAUAUCUAAUCUCGUGGUUGUGACGAUUAUAUUACUGGUAAUUAGUGACUUAAGAGCUUUGUAAAUUACUUGACAACGAGGCACCAGUGGUCUAGUGGUAGAAUAGUACCCUGCCACGGUACGGACCCGGUUUCGAUUCCCGGCUGGUGCAUUUUGUUCUUCUUUUAUUUUUCACAGUUUUUCAAAUUUUGGCCUGAUUAAAAAAGAAAAUUUUUGGGUGUUACACUAUAUGUCGGAAAGAGUUUUUGACACGAAUGAAAAAACUAAUUUCAUAACUCGCUAGAAAAUCGCGAGACGAAUCUUUUGAGCCUAACUAAUUUGUCAUUAGCACAUGCGGGUUACUGUAGCAUUUAUAACUAAUCAUAGACUAAUUAGGCUCAAAUGAUUCGUCUCGCGAUUUCCUCUAACUGUGUAAUUAGUUUUUUAAUCUAUAUUUAAUGCUUCAUCCAUAUGUCCAAAAAUUCAAUGUGAUAUUUUUAGUAAAAAAAAGUUUUGGGAACUAAACCAGGCCUUUAACACCGAGUUUUUUUUAAAAAAAAUCUUUUUCCCUUAGAAAGGAGAGAGUUUUAUACCCAUCAAAUUUUAAUUCAGAGUUUUUUUAAUUCCUUCUCCCUUAAAAUGAAGAGGAUUUUUGUACCGUUUCCGAGUCGGAGCAGCAGUCUUGCCCUGACUAUUUACGUGCACGUGAUCGAACUCAAACAGUGGAUGGAUCGAUCACCCGGGAUGUCACGGCGGCGGAGGAACGACGGCGGCGAGGCCGAUGGCCGCGCCAGCAAGACGGCGCGGCGGCGGCCGGCGCAGACGAAGAUGAAGCACCUCUACCUGGUGCUCGACGACGGCGACGAGGCUACUACUACUUACACCAUCCACAAGCUCGACGUCGACGACGACGCGGGCAUUAUCCACGCGCCCGACGUCGACCGGCCGGCGACUCGGUUCGCGGCGGCGCCAGCGGCCGGUGGUGGCCAAAUGCACUUCCUCGCCAUGGCCGGGAAGAACAUCGUCGCGGUCGACGGCCAGGGUGGCGGCCCGACGGCCGUGUACGAUACGGAGGCGGCCGCGCUGACGUUCGCGUCACCCCUCCCGGGCCGUCUCUCCUCCUCCGGCGCCGGCCUGGCCGUCGUCGUCGAGGACGGUGGCCACGGCGGCGGCGAGGCGCUUUACGCGCUGACGUCGCUCGGCGAGCGCAUGCCGGCGUCGUUCGAGGCGCUGUCGUGGGCGCGCGACCCUUGCGCAUCGCCGUCGUCGUUGCUGUUCUCCUCCUCCUCCUCGCCGGGGCGCCACUACUACUGGUCCUGGAAGAACGUGGCCGAUACGCCGCCGCCGUUCGCCGAGGAGGAGGCCGUCACCGCCUACGCGGUGCACCCCGACGGCCGCACCAUCUUCGUGUCCACCACCGGCGGCGGCGGCGGCGGCACAUACUCGUUCGACACCGAGCGGCGCAAGUGGCGGCGCCACGGGGACUGGGUCUUGCCGUUCCGUGGGCAGGGCUACUUCGACGGCGAGCUGGACGCCUGGGUCGGGCUCCACAGGGAGGUCCACGGCCGCGUCUGCGCCUGCCAGGUCGCGUCCCGCGGCGGCGCGCGGCCCCCGGAGUACAGAGAGACGCUCGACUACGACAGCGUGUCGUCGUCGAGAAGCAAGAACCGGCGCCAACGCGCCACGCUCACCUACAUGGGCGACGGCAUGUUCUGCGCCGUGGAGACCUGUGAGACGCCGCCGACAUCGUCGUCGUCGUCGGAAGGAGGUGGCGGCGGCGGCGGCGUGGAGGUCCAUGUCACGGUGUUCGGGCUCAAGUACAAUCGCCGGGGAGAGCUGCAGGCGAGGGUUCGCCGCGCCGCCGGCGCGUUCCCACUGCCCAAGCAACAUGUCCCAUCGUUUUCUCCUGUAGCCUUCUGGAUGUAGCAGCUGCUUGCAGAAAUUUUAUUUUUAUUUUUUUAUACUUUUUUAUGUAUUAAUUUUAUUGAUAUACCUUUUGAAAACAUAUUUCCGAAAAUUUUAUGAAGUAGUUUGCUUCUCUUGCAUUACAUUGUGGAAUAUGAUCAGAUCAAUAGUUUCAUGCAAAUUAAAGUCUUACAUGAUGAUAUUUCGGCCACUACACACCAGAUAUUGCCCCCAAAAAAAAUGAUUGCACAAAGUUAACAUAUGGCUGGACAGUAGAUUUCACCUUUUCUUUUUAUAGAUGUCCCCCAGCUUCUAUUAAACUUCAACAGAUGUACACACACAAAAAGCAAAGUCUACUGGGUAUAUAUACUUGUUUACAGUACACAACAGACUCAAUAUUGCUAUAGUAAAAAAACACUCAUAUCCACACCAAAACACCACCCAACAUCUGAAUCCCUGGAAUCAUUCACAAGCAGCAAUCAACAUGGUUAGCAGCUUCUGAGUAUUACAGAUUGCAUUGAUGUUUAAAGAAAGACCUUAAGCCUCUUCCGGAUUGUGAUAUAAAAAAAAGGCCAACACACAAAAGGCUAGCGCGUCUGGUAUAUUAGAAGUAGCACAUGCAAAAUCGGUUCAUGAACAUGCAAAAGGCUUCCAGGUUGUGAUAAGCUCCACUUUCAAUAUACUUGUACAUAAGAGAACAACAAUAAAGUUGAACUGGUAAGAAUGGCUGUGGCACAUGCGCACAAAUUCACAGACAAAUGAGUAGAGAGUUUGGUCAUAGUAAGGGGGUGUUCGGGAGAGAGGGGCUAUUAGCCCCUCUCUAAAAAAAACAUAAGUCCUUCUCAUAGGGAUUUAUGUUUUUGUGAGAGGUACUAAAGUUUAGCCCCAGUUUAGUCCCUCCAACCAAACACCACCUAAGGAAUCAUGAAUACCAUCACGAUCCUUCUGUACAGACUGGCCUUAAGUGACUGAAAAAGGUGUUUCAGUGUCUGCCCUGAAUAAGCUGAAUUGUGCAGGGCUUCAAUUCGCGUAUAUGAACAGAGUGUUGUCAGGGAAAUGAUCAGUUGAGUUCUUUCAAUGUCACUUGUAAAUGUCUGCUGUCUUCGUGGUCAACCUUUUGGAUUCCAGAAUCUGUGUGGCUUUUAGUGAAUUGACCUGAACAUUAGCACAAGAAAUCAGAUGUAUCAAACAAAUGCGUACAUGCGAAGGUCUGAUUUUUGCUAGAGUCUACAGAUUCACUACACACCAAAAGCAGCCAAUGGUAUAAUACUAUAAUGCAACUAAGAAAGAAUAUGAAGAUUAGAAGACAAGCAGUACUCACUUUAGCGUAUAUCCUUGCUUAAACAUCACCUUCUGGAAAUCGCCCAUGAGUCUUGGAAAAUUCUGUGCAACUAUAAGUACAAAUACAUCCUCUUUUGCUCUUGCACUGUGCUGCCUGAUGUUUCUGAGAAGUUUAAGAAGGCCACAAAUGUCAUCAGAAUAAUAAGCUUUCCUUCCUGUGGCAGGAUCAAUGAAAUCAAGUGUUUCCUUCAAAUGCGUAUUUCCAUCUGGAGCUUCAACACCCUUCUUCCAUUUGGUGUAUUUACUGAGUUUGGUCUUAAUUUUCUCGUACGUUGGAUUAUCUGUUGUCUCCAUUUUCUCAAACAUGUUAUGGAGAGACAUGAAGUGGGCAGCUGAUCUAUAUCCAUCCUUCAAAGUGAUAUAGUCCUCUGCUAAACUGUCAUAACCUCUGGCACAACGAUCAAUCAGCUCAAUCCACUGUAUAAUGUCCAAAGGCAAAGUGGUGACCGAAACAAAUACCUCCUCGCGAGUCAUCUUCACAAAUCUAUCUGUAUCCUUUUCAAUGUCACCAUCCUCAAGCUUGUUAAUCACUCCCUUUGACAGAUUACCAAAUCUCAUGUUACCACAGGUAUCCAUUAGAAAAUUUUCCGAUGUAAAAUGGCCACCAAAUGUCAGUCCAGCCCAGUGAAAAUUCUUGAGUAGUACAUAUGCGUUCCUGAUCUUGCAUUUCACUUCAUUUGACGUUGUGUAAGAAAUAUGUCUACACAUAUUCUUCUCUUCUUCUUCAGUUGAUGUGCUUGCUCCUUCCUUCGGUUCUAGUGGAUUUGUCCAUGGAAUCUGUUCCGGUGGCGACUUGACUUGAGGUGUUAUGGUUUGAAGAAUUAACCUGUCCUUAUUGAACUUGCAGUAGUUCCUCAGGCUGGUAUACAUUGUUUCAUCCAUUUUGCAGACGAAAAGAUUAUGGUUUAGAUGGUAUGCCUUUUCUUCAAAUGCCCUGUCAUACUCAAGUUUCCUUCUUACAGAUCUUCUUUGGUAACCAUAACAUGGUCUUAAUUUUUUGCUUGUUGAUACGAUAGUGUCCCUUGCACCUUGACUUGUUGCUGGAGUCUUGAUUAGAGCUUGAAUAGCCUGUAAAUUAUUUGCCAUCACAAUGAUUAACUAAGAUCAAUUGCCAAAAUAACAAUCAGCAGAUGUGUUUCCAUGUCAAAUUUUUUUUUCACAAGAUAACCAAUCAACAGAUGCAGCUAUUUGCCUAUCAAGACAUUCAAAUUCAGCAUAUGAGCAGAUAAUACAUUCUAGGACAAAUCUUUAAAUGUAGCAAUGCAAAAUUAGUGCUCGCUACCUUCUUGAGAGAGAGAGAGAGAGAGAGAGAGAGAUGCUAGCUACUUACAGGUGCAUCAUUUUCUGGGAUCUUUAUUCCUUUUAUAUAGCAGUCGUCAAUCCAUUGGAUGUUAACCACCUUCUUGCCUUCACCGUUCCAUAUCAGAACAGCUCCCUCCGAAUAGUCUCCCUAGCAAUUUGAAUUAAAUGUCAAGAACGAAACAUGUGUUACACUAAUAAAAAUCGGUAGUAAUUUUUUUACCGCCAUAGCAACAUGAGUGCAGAUGUCAUAGUCUAUUGAUUGCAGUACGAAGCCUCCUAGUACUUCAAUUUUCCUUUUGCUCUGCAUCAUUUAGUUCAGAAUGUUAAUAAAACCUGGAGGAAGUAAAUUGUUAUCAAUGGACUCCCAUGCUGACAAGCCAGCCAUAUUAGUGGUAGAAACCAAAAUGACAUGCUGCACAAUUUUACAGGGUUUCAAAAUUGAACGCAGAUAAAUCUUACAGAGCCAAUCAACAAAAUUAGAUACGAUUCGACUAACAAAAUUCGAUAAAGGAACCUUAGAUACAUUAGUGAAGUAUAGAUUACUCCUCUAAUUCGUUAUCAGGAAAAUAUAUGGAGAUAAAUCCUCUAAUUCUUUAUCAGCUUGUACCCUUCAGGCCCAAAGAAAGGGAAGGACAAGUCACAAAACUCACCAGAUUCUCAAAUAGACAAGCAGUUUGGAAUUUUGGUGCAUACUAGGAAUAUGGCUUGCUUAGAAGGAGUAAAUACUAAGGGGCUGUGUAGCAGAAAACUAAGAUGGACUGGAAAUGAGUGAUUGUGUGAUAUGUUCCCUACUGUUGAUAAUCAUGAGCGUAAUGUUUCAAUCUUCAGAGCACUGCUUUCAGGUAGAAAGAACGCAAUCUUUUCGCGGAAAGUAUAUAAAAUGGAACUUGUUUUUUACCUUGACAUUAGAUGAGAUGGCAUAAAUAUCAAAAUAUGCACACGCUGAAAAUGCAGUACGAAAAGGAGAAGUUCCUGAGAAGAUCUGGUUGACAGACACAAUACUUCUGUAAAAUUGCUGAUAUGUUCAAUUUAGUUUAAAUUUCAUCAUUCCAUAAAAGUCACAUGUGUAGAUUCCUUAACCUGCUGAUAAUUUGACUUCAUCCUGAUAGCCUAGGCACCGAUAAUUAAUCUUUAAAAAACAAGUGUAAGGAACGGGAUGUGUGCUGUGUGCAUGUUGUGGCCUGAACUAAGGCAGUAAAAAUCAAUUAAGCUCGAUGUCCAGUUCCGCAUUUCCCUUAAACCCUAACUCUGCAAUUCGAUGAAAUUGGGGAACACACGCCGACAUGUGAAUUAUGAGCAACUAGAACUGGGGACAUUAUCUCACCUGUUCUUUUAGAAGGUGUGGGAAUCCGUGAAGUAUGAAACGCAUCCCGGCGAAAGGGCGAUUGAUUCUGCCCCCGCGAUCUGCUCCCGCCGCUGAUCCCUCGCCGCUGAUAUGGCCUCGCGCCUCGAGAUCGAUCCCCGACUCCUCAUCGCCGCUUCGGCGUCCAAAUCCGCCGCCGCUUCGGGCUCCUCCCCCGGCCGUGGAUGUAUCCCCCGGCACCGCCUUGUUCUUGAGCCCCGCCGCGUAUCUCCCCACCACAGCCGCCGCCGCCGCAAACGAUUUCUCCCCAUCCGCAGCGGACCGCUUCCCUGUCUCUGCCUUGACCUUCAGCCCCACCACCGGCUUGCGCUCCUCCACCUCCCCCGCGUAUUUCCUCCUCGACCCCACCUCUUCUCCAUCCACCACCGCCGCGUCGCACCCCUCCUGCUUCACGGUGGCUUUGCUCCGCGCCACCGCCGCGUCGCAUCCCUCCUGCUUCACGGUGGUUUUGCUCCGCGCCACCGCCGCGUCGCACCCCUCCUGCUUCACGGUGGUUUUGCUCCGCGCCACCGCCGCGUCGCACCCCUCCUGCUUCACGGUGGUUUUGCUCCGCGCCACCGCCGCGUCGCACCCCUCCUGCUUCACGGUGGUUUUGCUCCGCGCCACCGCCUUCGCUUCCCCCCCCCCCCCCCCUCUCCGACCGCCACGGCUCCCUCCUCCGUCGCCGCUUUGGCCCGCGCCUCCGCCUCCGCCACCGCCACCGCCGCCGCCGCCGCCGUAGCGGGGUCCCAUCAGCGGCGGCAUGACCUAGCCGCGGCGCUUGGCGAAUUGGGGGCGAACUGCGAGAAGCGAGCGGGAGGAGGCGAGAGGCGAAAGGGGAGGGGAGACGAGCGGGAGGGAGCGGAAAUUUCGAGUUCGUUGGGCUAUUGGCUACUUGCUGAGCUGUCCUUUCGUUUUGUCUACCCGGUCCGGAUGGGGCCUUGUGGGUUUUUCACUUUUUCUUUUUCUUUCCUUUUCUCUCUCUCUGUUUUUUUUUGUGACGAUGGGAGUAAUAAAACAGUAAAUUCCUUCUAUUUUCUUGCGGUGAAAAAUUCCUUCAGAUAUCAGUAUCACGGCCAAAGGUGCCACAAACCUACUGAAUUUAGGCGGUUCCAAAAACAAAAAUUUCUAUGCUAUAACAUCGAAUGUUUGAUACAUGCAUAGAGUAUUUAAUGUAGGCAAAAAGAAAAAAUCAUUACACAUAUUGCAUAUAAAUUGCGGGACGGAUAUUUUAAGCCUAAUUGUAUCAUGAUUUGACAAUAUGGUGCUACAGUAAAUAUUUGCUAAUGACGGAUUAAUUAGGCUUAAUAAAUUGUUUUGCAGUUUCCUGACGGAAUCUAUAAUUUAUUUUGUUAUUAGGCUACAUUUAAUAUUUUAAAUAUGUGUCCGUAUAUCCGAUCUAACAACCAAACCCAAAAAUUUUCCCCAACUAAACAAGCCCUUAGGUGGUGUUUGGAUCCAGCGACUUAAUUUUAGUCUCUGUAUUUAGACACUAAUUUAGAGUAUUAAAUAUAGACUACUUACAAAACUAAUUACAUAAAUGAAAGCUAAUUUGCGAGACAAGUUUUUAAGCCUAAUUAAUCCAUAAUUAGAGAAUGUUUACUGUAGUAUCACAUAGGCUAAUCAUGGAUUAAUUAGGCUCAAUAGAUUCGUCUCGUGAAUUAGUCUAAGAUAAUGGAUGGGUUUUAUUAAUAGUCUACGUUUAAUAUUUAUAAUUAGUGUCCAAACAUCCGAUGUGAUAGGGACUUAAACACGUUGAACGGUACUCCCUUCCUCCUAAAAUAGAAGGAAUUUUGGGUGAUGUGACAUACUAUCCUAUACCUUAUAAAUCUGAACGCAAAUCCUUUAUAUUUUGAGGCGGAGAAAGUAUUACUAAUUAGUACUAAUAUUUCGUUGCGGCAACAUACUGACAUGUACAUACGCAGCCCGCCUUGUCAGGUUUGCCACCAUCAGCCACUACCUUCUCACCACAAGCUCCGUAUACCCCACCGACAACAUCGACACACCGCUGCGUGCUCGUCGGUCAGCUGAAGGAAGAUGAUGCCCCUAUGUGGAGAUAGAGGUGGUGUGUGGCUUCCGUUUUCCAGCGAUGGUGGUGCGGCGAGGGGCCAGGAAUGAUAAUGAUAAGGUGAAUUAGGCUUGGGUAGCAGCGGCUAUUCACAUUAAUUAGACGACUGUACGGCUCGGGCAUCCAAUCAAUUUGGAGAAAAAUAGAACGCUGAUGUCAGCGCCCAAUUUACGUGCAAAACUAUUUUAAACUGAUUUUUCUCUUAAUUACUUAUCUAAAUCAUUAUCCGAUUGUACCAUUAAAUUCGUUGCAAUUAAAUCUUUAAAACAAGACCACACAUGGAUAUAUUCCGACGAAAUUUUUUUUAGCUUAUUAUUAAAUUAUUUUAAAUAUUGCACGAUGUUCAACCAAGUAUAUCGGAAUUGAUUCACUUAGUAGAUCGAAAAUGUUUCGCUUGUUUAAAUCAGGUGUUGUUUCACCGUAUAUAAAAAUAAUGUUUCAGCAAAUAGCUAAAGAAUGUUUUAGUUCACAGCAACAUUUGAUCCAUACGUAGUGAAACAUUAUAAGUACACUAGGUGAAACAUUUUUCGGUGGAAUAAAAAAUAAAACGAAUUCCCUUAAUAGGGGUUCCCAAAAUAUAUAGGUUUUUUUGUUAUAAUGAAAUAUUUCAGUUUACUGCAACAUUAGAUCUAUACAUAGUGAAACAUUGUGAAUACACUUGGUGAAACAUUUUGGGUAAAAAAAAUAAACCAAAUUUCCUUAAUAUAGAGUUUUCAAAAUAUCUAGUUGAUUUGUUGUAGGUGGAGACAGGUACUGUAGUGGGCCUAGCGGCAUGCACCGCGCACAGGGGGCGGGGUAGAGGUGGCCAAAUGGGCCGGGCCAAACGGGCGGCCCGCGGCACGGCCGUUCCUGUAGCAGGCACGGCCCGGCACGGCCUGCUACAGUAACGGGCCGUGCCGGCACGGCCCGUGUAGCCGUGCCGUGCUUGGGCCGCUGGCCGAGCCCGCGGGCCGGCACGGCACGGCACGGCUCCUGUAGCAGGCCGGCACGGCACGGCCCGCGGCACGGCACGGCCCGGGCGGCCCGUCAGGCCGAAAGCGCCGGCGGCGCGUGACAGGGCGGGCGGCGGUCCAACGGGAAGGCGACACGUGGCACUAACGGCUAUUUGACCGUUCAAAUUUGAAAAUAACCGUUGGGAGGCUAAAAAAUUCAUAAAAAAUUCGAAAAAAUUCCAAAAAAUCUCAAAUUUCGCCCUAUAAAUAGGGCAUGAACCCCAGCCAUUUCUCCUCAUCCCACACUCCUCAUCUUGUGCUCUCAAGUGUUUUAAGUGCUCUCUUUGUUCUCAAGUGUGCAUUUUUUUUUAUUUUGACAAAAUUUGCUCAAAUUUUGUCAAAAAUCAAAAUUAGUUUCGUAGUUCAACAGUUUGAUCGCAGAGGUUUGAAGAGCUCGCGGUUGGAAAGAUGUAAGUAAUAUUCAAAUUUGUGUAUUAUUUGUAUUGUGUUUGUGAAUUCAAUAAAUAUUCGAAAAUUUGUUUAUGUCGGUUUAAAUUUUCAGAAUGGAUCCGAACUUUCCAUACCAGUCGCCGUCGUUCACCUUGGGUGAUUUCGACCCCAACUACAUGUCGGGGUUUGACGGUACCUCCGGAUCGGCUCCAACUCCACCAUCUGUGGAGGAGGUACCGGUUCAUACGGCUGUCGUUGAGGAGGUACCGGUUCAGGCGGAGACAGCUUCGGAAGGAUUUUCCGGAACCGCGAGCGGAAGUGUUUCGACACACACCAGCUCGAAGAGAUCGAGAACCUCCGGUGUGUGGCAAAGCUUCGACGAGAUAAAGGAAACAUGCCCCGACGGAAGGGAGAUAUCGAAAGCCCGUUGUAGAAUAUGUAGGCAAAUUUUAUCUGCUCGUUCUUCUGGUGGUACAGGUCACCUCAAGCGCCAUGCGGAGUCGUGUGCCAAGAAGCAAGGAAUACAACUCCGGCAGCAGCAACUUAUGGUAAACCCAGACGGUACGGUACGCAGUUGGGAGUACGAUCCCAUGGUUGCUCGGGAAUCUCUUGUCCGGUUAAUCGCCAGGCAAGAUUUACCCCUGAACUUUGGGGAGUCCCCUGCUUUUGAACAUUACAUUCAGCAAUCUCAUAACCCUAGGUUUAAAGCUGUGAGUAGGCAAACAUCAACUAGAGAUUUAGAGAAUGUUUAUCACAAGGAAGCAACUGCACUUAAGGAACUGUUUAGUACAUGUACUUUCUCUGUUUGUGUUACUUCAGAUAUAUGGAGUAGUAGAGCUAGAGAGGAUUAUCUUAGCGUAGUUGUUCAUUUUGUUGAUGUGAUGAUUGGCAAUUACAAAAGAGAGUUUUAGGGCUUAGGUUAAUAGAUGUCUCACAUACAGGAGAAAACAUAGCUGAAAGAAUUAGGGAAGUAAUUAAUGAAUUUAAUCUUGCUGAUAAAAUAUUUGCUGUCACCCUAGAUAAUGCAUCUGCUAAUUCUAGAGCUAUUGAAAUAUUGCAACCUUUAUUUUGUGUGUAUGCUCAAUCUUUUCUACUCCAUCAGCGUUGUGCAUGUCAUAUAAUUAAUUUGAUUGUUAAGACUGGCAUGAAGAGGGUAGGUGACCACAUCGAUGCUGUUCGUCAAGCAAUCGCGUGGUUAACUGCUUCUAACCCGCGGAUUGCUGCAUGGAAGAGGUUUUGCAAUGCGGCCGGUGUGGAAGCUCGUAAGUUUGCCACCGAUGCAGAGCAUCGGUGGAAUGCAACGUAUUUAAUGUUAAAAGUUGUUUUACCUUAUAGUAGUUUACUUUCUGAUUUUGUUCAGUCACGUGGUGGCCCAAGAAACAGUGACGGGUCUUCAGUACUGAACGAGCAUGUUUGGGCAAUUGUACAAAAAUUUUACCAAUUUCUAGAAACUUUUUAUGAUUGUACUCUAACUUUGUCACAUGUUUAUUAUCCAACUGCUAAUAUAAUUUUGCACAACCUUCUUGAAAUUGCUACUUUAUUUAAAGAAUACGAAAAUGAUGACGUUCUAACUGAACCUGUCUUUCACAUGAAACAAAAAUAUUUGAAAUAUUGGAAAAAUAUACCUAUGUUGUAUGCUCUUGCUUUUGUUUUAGAUCCUAGGUGUAAAUUAAGGGGAUUGUCUGCUAUUUUAUCACUUGUUGGAGAUACUAUAGGUGUAGAUUAUAGUUCUUUUUAUACUGAGGUUAGACGUAAAUUAUAUGAGGUUUUUGGAAGAUAUGAAGUAAAGUUUCAGGAAGUUCGCCAGCGGAGACCCCCUCCUAUCCCCACUACAGGUAAGAAGAAGAUACAGUGGGGUAGGAUUUGGGGUGGAUCGUCUUCAAGUUCAAUCCAAGGUGGUGGCAGUUCGUCGGCUACAAGUGGAGACGCCUCUUCGCAUGUUGUGGCCGAAGAGUUGUCCGGUUAUUUGGACAGCGACGCCAUCCACCACGAAGCACAAGAUUUCAACGUCCUCGGGUGGUGGAAUGACCACAAGAUAACAUAUCCUGUGCUUUCAAAACUAGCACGGGAUGUGUUGACGGUGCCCGUGUCGACGGUGUCCUCCGAAUCGGCCUUCAGUCUAUGCGGCCGAAUCAUCGAAGACCGGAGGACGACUCUGCGCAGCGACCACGUCGAAAUGCUACUAAGCGUUAAAGACUGGGAGCUUGCUCGACAACAUGCCCAAUACACUGCGGACAACCAAGAAUUGGCCGCCCACUUCGAGCAACUCUACCUGGAUCCAGACCAACCCCAGUAGAAUUUUGUUAGAAGUAAGUUCUGACCUUUGAGCUGUACUCUUUUCUUUGUCAUGGUUUUCUCAUUUUCCCCUAUGAGUUUUUACAUGACAAAGUUUUUAACGAGGCAGCAUGUAUCAUUGUAUCCUGUAAUGAUAUAAACAUUAAUAAAGGUCAUUACUAUUUUUAACAAAUUCUUUUGCAAUAUUUUCGCAAGUGUGGAUUUACCUUUAAAUUAUUUCAAAAUAAUGAAUCACAAUCUAUAUUUUUAAAUUUUUCAACACAACAAAAAAAUACCAUUUUUUCUUUUUUUUUAACAUUACCAAAUCAUUACUUUUUUAAAAAACUUUUAUUUCCAUUUUUUAAAUACCAUUUUUUCAUUUUUUAACAUUAGUAAAUCAUUACUUUUUUUUAAACAUUUUAUUUCCAUUUUUAAUUUUUUUUUCCUUAUACAUUUCCUUUCCUUUUUUUUAAAAAAAAAAAAACACUGUGCACGGCCCGUGGCCCGAACGGCCCGUGGGCCGCGGGCGUGCCGUGCCGGCACGGGCACGGCCCGGCCAUCCACGGGCCGUGCUUGGGCCGGCGGCUCGGCACGUGGGCCGGCACGGCACGGCCCGUUUCAUCAGCCGUGCCUAACGGGCCGUGCCGAAACGGGCCGUGCCGGAACCGUGCCCGUGCCGGGCCGGGCCGUGCCGCCCGUUUGGCCACCUCUAGGGCGGGGGCGGGGGGAGCGUUCGAUUUUUGCUCCCCCCCCCCCCACCCGGUUGAUCGGAUAGAAUCAUUAUCGGGAAUGAUAAUGAUAAGGUGAAUUAGGCUUGGGUGGCAGCGGCUAUUCACAUUGAUGGAGUAGAAGAGCAAUGUCUAGUGGAUUUGCAGCAGAAACCAUAGGAGCCCACCAGAUAGGCGGAUAGGAGGAAGAAAUCAAAUUUGUACUAGUACAUUUUUAUGAGUUUUUAAUGUUUCAGAAAAUGCAUCUUUCUUGGGUUGGAUUGAAACGUUGUCCUUGAUACUUCGAUGGUGUUUCAUAUUUUUGUUUAAGAAUCUUGUAAUUGGUUAAUGUUCCAUAUGUGAAAAUAAUAGUACGUUUCAAUACAUGAAACAUUUUUCAGGUAGCGGUAAAACAUCGCCCAAAUUUUAAAGAAAAAAAAAGGUUAAAAUCAAACACUCGAUUUGCUGUCGCCUCCCAGCAUUCCUGAACUUGGAGAAAGUUUGUCCGAAACAACGGCGUCACACAGCGCGUCCGACUCCGUUUCUCCUGUAGGUCGAGUCGGAGUCGGUUUCUCACCCCAUGUAACCCAUGUUCGAAUCGGAUUCGGACACUACAACCGCCAUAACUACCUCGGCUAUAUAUAUGCAAUGCACGUGUAAUCAAAGUGGAUCAAACCAUCCAUCUAGCUCGCGCCCAAACACCGAUCGCUCGGGAUGCCUAGGCGGCGGCGGGACGACGACGACGACGACGGCGGCGAGGCCUACCGGCGACAUCACCACGACAAGAGGCCGCGGCCGCCGGCGCCGCCGCAGCAGAAGCAUCUCUACCUGGUGCUCGACGACUGGGACAGAGGCUACAGCAUCCACAAGCUCGACGUCGACCUCGACGACGCCGGGGUUAUCCACGGCGGCGGCGGCGGUCCAGCCGUCCGGUUCGCGGCGCCGAGGUCGUCGUGCGACGCGCGGUUCUUCCCCAUGUGCGGCGACAGUGUCGUCAUGGUGUCCGACGCGGCGCCGACGCUGGUGUACGACACGGGCGCGGCCGCGCUGACGGUCGAGUCGCCGCUCCCCGGCCUCCUCGCCGGCGGGAUGGCCAUCGCCAUGCCCGGCGGCGAGAGGCUGUACGCGCUCACGUCUCUCGGCGAGCGCUUCCCUCGCGCCUUCGAGGUGCUGUCGACGGGCGGCGGCUGGUCGUGGAAGAACGCGCCCGUGGCGCCGCCGCCGCCGCCGGUCGAGGAGGCCGUCGCCGCCUACGCGGUGCACCCCGACGGCCACACCGUCUUCGUCUCCACCUCCGGCGACGGCGGCGGCGGCACGUACACGGUGGACACCAAGCGCGGCGAGUGGAGGCGGCACGGUGGCUGGCUCCUGCCGUUCCAUGGCCAGGGCUUCUUCGACGCCGAGCUCGACGCCUGGGUCGGCCUCCCGCGCCACGGGGACACCAUCUGCGCCUGCCAGGUCCCGUCCCGCGGCGGCGCGCGGCCGCCGGAGUGGGACACCAUGGACGAUGACGACGUGGUGCCGUCGUGGAAGAAGAGCCGCCGCCGCCCCGGCGGCCGUCGACGCGCCACGCUCACCUACAUGGGCGACAGCAAGUUCUGCGUCGUCGACUGCGUGGAAUGCGACGGCGACGACGGCGGCGGCGUGGUCACGCCGCCGCAAUGUGAGGUCCAUGUCGCCGUGUUUGGGCUCAAGUACAACCGGCGGGGAGAACUGAAGGCGACGGCUCGCCGCGCCGCCGGGUCGUUCCGAGUGCCCAAGCAUUUCUCAUGGUUCUCUCCUGUGGCCUUCUGGAUGUAGACGAAGCCAUAUAUAAGCAAAAAACUGCAAUGCAAUCUACAAUAUAUAUUGCGAUUCAGAUCAAGGAAAAAAGAAAACUAACAUUCAGAAUGCUAAUCAAACAGUGCUUUCCUUUCAGUGAAGUGUAGCAUUCUACAGUGCUUUAGGGGGUGUUUAUAUACAGGGGUGUAAAGUUUUGGCGUGUCACAUCGAAUAUUAUAUAGGGUGCUGUAUGGGGUGUUCGGACACUAAUAAAAAAUAAUUACAGAAUCCGUCAGUAAGCCUCGAGACGAAUUUAUUAAGCCUAAUUAAUCCGUCAUUAGCCGUCAGUAAGCCUCGAGACGAAUUUAUUAAACCUAAUUAAUCCGUCAUUAGCAAAUGUUUACUGUAACACCACAUUGUCGAAUCAUGUAGCAAUUAGGCUUAAAAAAUUCGUCGCAAAUUAGUCACAAUCUGUGAAAUUACUUAUUUUUUUAGCCUAUAUUUAAUACUUAUCAGGUGUUUAAACUUUUGAUAUGACAGGGUGUAAAAUUUUUGGGUGAGAUCUAAACAGUCCCUUAUUUAUAGUUUCUCAAAGUUCAGUCAUAUGCUUGUAAGAAUGUAAGUUGUAUAAUAUCCUUUUUGAGUUUUGACAACCAUUAAUACAAUGGAUACAAUGGAGAGUUUUAUCUGCAUUUUGAAAUAAACAAGAAAGAAAUUCAAUGUAACAGAGUAUCUAGUCCCAGCAACUAGUUACACAUGCAUGCUGUCCUGUAAUGCCACAAUCUUAACUCACACAAGAUGCUAACCAUGUUGAUUGUUUGAAUCACCGAUUACAGAGAACAAGGGUUUCAAACGGCCGGUUUAAAUUGAGAAAACCAACGUUUGCAGCGGAAGAUAAAAAACCUGGUACCCAUGAUACCAAGAACGUGCUGCCUUGUAGUACUGAAACUUCUUAUCAUAGCAGAGAACUUCAACUUCCAUGCUGAUACAUAACACUAAGGAUUUUUAUGACCACAUAAGAGAAAAGUACAUCCAGAAAUGGUACAACUUUUUAACCAUUCCAUCACCUUAUCACAGAAUUUACACCAUUCAAAGUCAUCCAUGUAAACUGCUGCCUAUAAUUUCUGUAUACUAAAGAUUGCCACCAUACAAUUCCUGAAAAAACGGAUGGCUUGAUGCACAUCGCAAAACAAACAGAUAUGUUUAUGUAGGAACAACAUAAGGCUCUUUGUAGUCCUUCCACCAAGGAAAGAAGAGAGCAAUGAUUGCCACAACAAAAACGAAAAGAAAAACUGGAUAGUGAGAACGGUUUGCAUUUCUUUUCUUGCCUCCAGUCUUCUUCUCAUUCACAGCUUGACAUUCUUGACAUGGAGAUUUGGCUGCACCAUCAAAAUCCUCAUCAUCAUCGUCAGCCGGGAACUUCAAAUCUUCUAUUAGGGCAUCAGUGUUUUGCAUAUGGCAUUGAUUUUCCUGCCGAAUUGAGUCCCAAAAUUCUUUUCUUUCCUUAAGCUCACUGUUUUUUCUGAACUGAAGAAUAUUAGUACCUGGCCCUGAGCAGUGUUGUAUAGCUGGACUUUCAAGUGGUGGGUGACCAUCUUGUUCUGGGUCUCUACAGAAGGUGCAAGAAUGGAGUUGCUUUCUUGGAGUAGAAUUCAUCCUCAUGUCACCUGAUAAAACCUGUGCCCUGGAUAUCUGAAAUAAAACAUGAGACAAAGUGAGAGAGAUGUAAAUUCAUUUAAUUCUAAGGAAGUUAUGUCUUCAACCCAAAAUCAUGUCAAAUAUAAACCACUGAAAGACAAAUCUUCAGCACGCUAAUGAAAAUGCAUAUCCAAACAAUUAACAUAUAUGUGGAUGGUAUAUGAAAGUGACAUCAAAAUAUGUUCAUGCUAUUUGGGGCUAAGGAAUGGAAAUAAUAUGUUAAAGAAAAGCAAGUAUUUAAUCAUACAACACAUUUGACAUUUUAAGUAGAUCAAAGCUGCUAUGAGUUUCUGCCGCAUACCUGAGAGCAGUGAUUCGUUUCAUGCGCUGCUGAACAGACAUAACAUGGGCCAGCAACUCUUGUUGGCACAUCUGACAACCUCCUGUCUGGCUUAAUUGGAUCAACAGAGCUGAAAUGUGCCAUCAAACCUGAAGCCUCAUGACUAUCUGGAAUAACAGUGCGAAAUAAGUCAUGAUUGGACAUUCCAUGUGAUUUGUCAGAUUUGUUACACCAUAGCUGCCGCCUUGCACGUGUGCUUCCAGAACCACAUUGUCCCACUGAAUGUUGAGAAUCAAAAUCAGUAGACAAAUGAACAGAGUUCAGGUCACAAGAAUGUGAAUCACAUGAACCAUCGUCUCUGAUAUCCGCAUCAUCCAUGAGAGAAUGUGAAUAUGAACCCUUUCUGCCAUUUCUUACAGAAUAGUUUGCUAACUGACUCAAAUUAUUGUCAUGCCCACUCUCUUUUUGCCUGCCAACAAGUAGCUUAGCAGUCUCAGAUGCCUCGAAAGCUGCAAUGCUGAUGGCUGGCAUAGUGUCGUCCUGGAAUUGUUCCAUAGCAUGGAUAAUACUACUGAUCUCAGAAGAUAUAAUGCCUAGAUCCAAACCCUUCAUGAUGGAAUGUAUCAUUUGAAUCGAUGAAAUAAUCAUCUGAGAACUGCUUGCCUUAGCACUCUCAUCCAGUAUCUGUAAGCCCGAUCGAAUCAAAGAUCGGCCAUAAGGCUCAAGCAUCAGUGGAUUUUGUGUCAGCAAAACAACCACCAAGUUUAAGUGCGCGAUACUCUGAGCAUGCGCCUCCUCUAGGGCCCCUGAGACUUUCAAGCAGACAUCAUUAACCAGCUCGUUAGACGCAAACCGCCAGUUGUUGGAUUGCACAAGCGCGGCGACACAAAGAGCAGAGCCAAAAGAGUUGCUCUCCACCUUAGUGCUCAUCAGACAAUCUGCAAAGGGACGACAAAGCGAGCCAAUGAUCGCGCUUUUCAACGCUUCCGUCGCCAGAGGAUCAACAACGUACCGCGAUAGCGCGCAAACAACCUUGGAGCAACCAACGGCAUUCCGCGAGGACAUCAUCCUAACGAUUGCCGAGACGAUCAGGGCGAUGUGCGGCACAAUCUUGCGGCCGUGCGCUUGCGCGGCGGUCUCGAAGAUGCACAGCAUCUCCUCCUCGGAGAAGGAGCAUGGCUUCACGGGGUCACAAACGCGGGCAAGAAAUGGCGGGAGCGUGUUCGAAUCAAGCUCCUUCACAUACUGUCUCAGGCCACUGAAGGCAGCCUUGUUGGUAAGGGGAUCCAUCACCAUCAGAGAGAGCGCGCCCCCUGUCGAUACGAAAUCCAGCAUCAGAGAUUGCCGCAACUCGCAAUCGAUUCAACCGCCCACAAAUAUUUUCUAUGGAGCAAAGAACUAAAACUACUACUCCUAGUCCUAACAAGGGUUUAAGGCAAAGAGGAAAGAGCUUCGAAACCUAGAAGAGGGGAGAAAGAGCGGAGAGGGAUGAGAGGGAUACGGGGUGCUCACCGGCGGCGAGCGGAAGGAAGAGGAAGUGAGCAGGAGGGGGACGACGCCGGCAACGCUGCUUCACCCUCGCGGGAUGGAGAUCGGCGGCGGAGGAAGGCGGCGGGGCGGGGCGGGGCGAAGUCGAUCUCCGCCUCCGGGAGUCGGGUCGAGUAGGGCCGUCGGUAGGAGUCCCAGGCCCAUUAACGCAAAGGCGGUAUGGGCAUUUUUAGUUACCCAUGGCCCAACUUGUCGCUAUUAAUCUGGACAUAGUUAAUAUCUAGAUUCAUAAUCAGAAGUUGUUUAUGUCUAGAUUUGUUGAUAAAAGUUAGUUUAUUUUGAGACGGCGAGAAUAAAUCUAGAUGUUUUUUUAGAUACAAGAAAAGCGGUGCAUACUAGGGUCUGCUAGCCUCUCAAAUCAAAUGCUAAGUCUUUAUGGUUGAAGUUGAAGUGAGCUCGAUGAAUCGUUGAUGCAUUUCUUUUAAGUUGCCCUAAUGGCUCAGUGGGCCAGAUAGCUUGGGUGCAACCAAAUAGGUCAGAGCUAUUGUUUUUCCAACCUGGUCUAGACUUGUCUGAAUAGUUUGUUUUUCAAAUGGCUGGUCAAUUUGUUAUAUACAAAUUUGACGCGUAGGACAAUGAAUUUGUCCAGCUCAACUUCAAUAGGCUGAAAUGACUAGGCAAGCUGGACUAUCCGGAUGAAGUUGAUCACCAAUGGACCGAACAAGUCUAGGCAAUGUACUUUCUAUGGGUUGGAUUAGCCAAACAAUCACCAGCUAGACAGUCCGGUGAAGAUCGAACUAUCUGCCCUUUUAUAGCGCAACUGCUAGUUGUUUCAGUGACCAUCGCAAAAGUUUAAAGGGUUAGACUAUGUCCUAUGCACUUCAAAGGCAAUGUUUAAAAAUGGCUAGUUUGUGUAGUUGAGGUAUAAAUAUACAGUGCUAGUCGAGACUAAAUACUCUAUGCUAUGUACCUGUUCCUAUCUCUUGGAUAACAUUGCAACUUGAGAUAACUCGUGGAGGACUUAAGCUUUCAGAGUGAUUACUUGAGCGAGGUAGUGGCUUUGUACGCACUCACAAAAGAGUAGUGCUGAGUAGCUUCAAGUGAAGUUUUCAUCUUGUUAUUCAUGGCAUCUCUUAAGGAUUUUGUGGAAGACCCGAUGAUCUUGGGAAAGGCUUGGAGAGUUGGAGUUUGGCUUCCAUAGUGAAGAAUAGCUAUACAAAAGAGCGGCUAUGGACUUUGUGACCAUAAAAAGAAGUGAGACUAUAAUGUAGAGUGCUCCAAUGAGGACUAAUAGAUUACUGAGUCUAUGAUACCUUGCUAAAAAGUCUCCGUGUCUCCGUGCUUGAUCUUCAUAUCUCAAUCUCUCUACUGCUUGCAAUUACAUUACUAGAAUUGAGUAGGACUUCAAAUAAGUUAAAAAAGCUUGUGCCAUGCUAGUUUUGAACCCUACGCAUGUAGUAGCUUUUGUUUAUCACAAUUGAGUGUAAUCUCAGCCUUUAGUUUUUAAAUCUCUAUUUAGCCCCUCUAUGGCAUGUUUGAUGCUAUAGCUAUCAUGGUAACAGGGCCUACCCCUUGGUAGGGUAAUUAAAUUGCUCUGUAUAUCAGCCAUGUUUUAAAAAAAUUAAACAAAACUUUAAUCUUGUUAAAACUUCUCCCUUUUUUUUAAUCAUGUGGUUACUAGGCUUACUACCGAAAGGAGUAUCCUUACCGUGAUAAAGGAAAGGAAAUCCUGAUUGUGCUUCGUAUCCAAUGCUAGGGGCUGUUCAUGAGUUGGUGCAUUUUUCCUUAGAGCCACGACUUUAUUAGUCAACCCAUACUCCCCCUCUUUUUUUUUCUUUCUGUAAAACCCAUGUUGUCUUGAUUUUCUAAACAAAACAUAGUUUUUGUGAAACCAACCAAGUUGGCGUGUCUAUUAUGUCGAGAAAAACAAUAAUACAAUGCCAUAACUUGUAAACUAUAAGCCUAGAAAUUAAAGCCAUGAACUACAACGAGCACACACUAACAUUGUACAGUGGUUGCUGAAGGGUAUUAUAUGAAUAGAAUACAUACAAUUUAAAAAGAAUUGAUGAUGGAAAUGCUGCCUUUUAUAAUCACUGAACUAAAUAAGAACCCUCUUUGUUUCCUUGUGGAAGAGAACAUCUGCUAUUAACCAAUGCAUAUGCAAGGAAGGAAGGAUACCUCAUUUCUAUGUGCCCCUGCUCAUGGAGUGUGACCAAACUGUCCUCAUGGCAUCCAAAGCUAUAUAUUUCUAUUAAUGCUAUUCAGGUCAGUAACAGCCAAGAGGCUCUGCACACACAGUUCGUCACCUUCACACACAGUUCGUCAUCUUCCAAACUGUCCUCAUGGCCCUGUUUGGAUCAUUAAACCUAGAUUACUGACAAAACCCAUUCCAUAACCGCUAGGCUAUUUUGCGAGAUGAAUCUAAUGAGGUAUAUUAAUCUAUGAUUCGCUACAGUGAUGCUACAGUAAUCAGCCGCUAAUCAUGGAUUAAUAUACAUCAUUAUAUUCGUCUCGCAAAAUAGUCUAGGGGUUAUAGAAUCGGUUUUAUCGGUAAUCUACGUUUAAUACUCCUAAAUAGCAAAAUUCUGGAGGGCUAUUUAAUAGCUCGGAGGAUCCAAACAAGGCCAUGGUUGCACUUGUUUCUUUCCAUCAUCACUUAACUCAAUCAUUUGCUUUUCAGCCUAUAAACUGCUAUAGAAAAUUAAGUUUUAAAACUUAAUUUUGGAGUUGAUUUCAAGGGGGUUUUCAUAUUUUUAUUUUUUAGCUUUUACUUUUAAAUCGCUAUACAAGUAUAUAUAAAAAAUUUACAAAUAAAUUAUUUUUUCUCGGUGAUAAGCCGUUACGGCCUAUAAUCAACUAUAGGUUAAACAAGAGGUUAUUCUUCGAAAACAACUAAAGGCACCAUUCUUGUGAAAAAGCUUUGGAAGAUGAAGUGUAGUAGCAGUACAAGUUCAAUUGCCUGAAGAGCAGGUAAAGCCAGAGAGAUCAAAGCAGCAAAAAGGCCAUGACAACAUCAUGGAGUAUAUAUUCAGAUUCACCUCCUCUUUUUCUUCAGCAAGGAAAGGGAGGUGCAAUAUUAAAAAAAAAUCUGCAGCAGUUUGUGCUGUCCUUUUUGGAAGGAAGUAAGGAAAAGGGGGUCCAAGAGGAGGUUGGCUCACACAAUGAGUGACACAAUGCCCUGCUGCCUUGCUUUGCUCAGCUUUGCUUUACUUUGCUUGCGUAGGUAGGAAGAGGAAGAGCAGAAAAUGGAGGGAGAGCAGUAUGAAAAUUUGGCAGCAAAAUUGGCAGGCGCCAAACAUAAUAAAUGAAAUGAAUAACUGCAACUAAUUUGUUUAUAGAUUUAGAUGGAUGUUUCGGAUAUCUGUAACGAUAAUCGAUAAUGUAUAAUUUUAUUUGUCUAACAAGUUUAGAACCACACAUGAUACACCUAUGUAAUACCGGUGUUGUAAAUUGGGCCCAUAUGUCGUGUACAUGCAAGGGAAAAUAUAUAGUUUUGAAUUAAAAAAAUGCUAGUUAUAGUUUCACGAAAUACCUACUUUUGAACAAAUAAUUACAGUAAUGUGAAAUUUACUCAAUGGAAAAAGUGCAAGAACUGAAUUGAAUGGGAGAAGGAAUAUGAAAACAAAACCAGAUUUGCUGCAGAUUUACGUAUUCAUUGUGAUAGAUAUAUAUCCCCAAUAUAUAUAUUGACAUUGUUUUUCCUAAUACUAAUUUCUUAUUAGAAGGAAAAAACACCCACCAAAACACAUAGUCGAGCCCAGUUCGUUCCAGGCUCAAGCCUAGCCAAAGCCACAGCUCACCACAGCUCGUCAGUUAGGGCAUGUUUAGUUCGCAAAAAUUUUUGCCCUGCAUACCACAUCAGAUAUACGGAUACACAUUUAAAGUAUUAAAUAUAGUCUAAUAACAAAACAAAUAAGAUUCCACCAGAAAACUACGAGACGAAUUUAUUAAGCCUAAUUAAUCCGUUAUUAGCAAAUGUUUACUGUAGCACCAUAUUGUCAAAUCAGGGCGCAAUUAGGCUUCAAAGAUUCGUCACGCAAUUUCCUGGCGAAUUGUGUAAUUAAUUCUUUUUGUCUACGUUUAAUACUAUAUGCAUGUAUUCAAACAUUCGAUGUGAUAGCAUGAAAAAUUUAUUUCGGAACUAAACAGGCCAGUAUUAUCGCCAGUAUUGAGUACUUGCUCGGCUCGGCUCACGAGCCGACGGCUGGGCUCACUGAGCGAGCCAGAGCAAUCCGGCUCAGAUAAAAGCGAAACCCUCCCUCCCCUCUCCAAGCGGAAACCUACCCCCUCUUCUUCCUCCGCUUCUCUCUCUCUCUCUCUCUCUCUCUCUUUCUCUCUCCUCAACCGUGCGGCUGCCUCCUCCUCGUCGCUGGGCAUGGAUGUGCACCCGCCGAAUG
This 46930-nucleotide long non-coding RNA is filed under the name Oryza sativa (Asian cultivated rice). RNAcentral describes it as "long non-coding RNA (OSAT_LNC000225)". The stretch from base 21317 to 21520 matches the Rfam family "MIR812 microRNA precursor family". Lineage: Eukaryota; Viridiplantae; Streptophyta; Magnoliopsida; Poales; Poaceae. The record is from RNAcentral.